RNAcentral lists this long non-coding RNA (55168 nucleotides) under Capsicum annuum. RNAcentral describes it as "long non-coding RNA (CANN_LNC010382)". The record is from RNAcentral. Lineage: Eukaryota; Viridiplantae; Streptophyta; Magnoliopsida; Solanales; Solanaceae.
UCAGCUGCCGCCCGAUCUCCAGCCGCCAAAUUGGGCUCCAACAGGCCGAGACCCCGCCUGCACCCGCCACGCCGUCGUCCUCAGCCGCAGCCCCAAGCGAAAUCCGGUGACUUCUAACCUUUGUUAUUUCAUUAUUUCAUUAUUUCGUUAUUUCAUAUUGCAUUUUAGUUCGUUAUCUCAUAUUGCAUAUCGCAUUUUAGUUCGUUAUCUCAUAUUUCAUACUGUGAACAUUGUCUGUUGACUGUUGUUGCUGUUGCGGCGGUCGCUGCUUAGUUUUGCUUCGGGAGUAGUCCCGUCAACGUGUGUGUGCCUUGUAUCUCCUGGCUGCUGCUUGGAUAUUGCCACCGGCUAUAUCCUUUUACUUCCCUAUUUUUUGCGUGUAGUUGUGGCUGUGGGCGGUAAUGGGUGGUUAGGGUCAUGUCCGAGGGGGUUGGGGCGUGGGGCUGUGGCGGGGGCGGGAGAUGGGGGNNNNNNNNNNNNNNNNNNNNNNNNNNNNNNNNNNNNNNNNNNNNNNNNNNNNNNNNNNNNNNNNNNNNNNNNNNNNNNNNNNNNNNNNNNNNNNNNNNNNNNNNNNNNNNNNNNNAGUGGGGGGCGCGUGGAUAGCGACGGUAGGCUGAGGGUUGGGUCUUGGAAUAUAGGGACCCUUCAGGGGAAGUCCAUAGAGCUGGUGAAGAUUCUUAGGAAGAGAAGGAUCAACCUUGCGUGUGUCCAAGAGACCAAGUGGGUAGGGUCUAAGGCUAGGGAUGUGGACGGUUACAAGCUGUGGUACUCUGGGAGCGACAGGCGUAGGAAUGGAGUUGGCAUCUUGGUAGAUGAAGAGCUUAGAGGUCAGGUAGUGGAGGUGAAGAGGAUCAACGAUAGGUUGAUGACUAUCAAGUUGGUCAUUCGGGGGUUUACCCUGAACGUGUGUAGUGCCUAUGCGCCGCAUGUGGGAUCGGAGGGGGAGGAGAAGAUGCGGUUCUGGGAGGCCUUGGAGGACGUGGUGAGAGGCGUGCCCAGUUCGGAGAAGAUUGUGGUAGCAGGGGAUUUCAACGGGCACAUCGGGGCGCUACCGGGAGGCUUUGGGGAUGUGCAUGGAGGUUUUGGUUUUGGGGAGAGAAAUGAAGAGGGGGCGACCCUAUUGGAGUUUGCGAGGGCGUUUGGGCUGGUGGUGGUGAACUCGGGCUUCCCGAAGAAGGACGACCACCUGAUCACUUUUCGGAGCGCGGUAGCCAGGACCCAGAUUGACUUCUUGUUGCUUAGGAAAGGGGAUAGGGCGCUGUGUAAAGAUUGUAAAGUCAUCCCGAGUGAGAACCUUUCGACCCAACAUAGGCUCUUGGUUAUGGAUUUGGGUAUGAAGAAGAAUAAAAAGAGGAGGAGUAAGGAGUGUAGACCGAGAAUUAAGUGGGGCGGUUUGACGCCAGUGAAUGCGUGGGAGAUAGGGGAGAGGUUGGCGGGAAUGGGGGUGUGGGAGUGUAGGGGGGACGUGGAUAAUAUGUGGGACAGGGCGGCAGCGUGCAUCAGGGAAAAUGCAAGGGAGGUGUUGGGUGUUUCUAGGGGCCGGGCCGGACAUCAUCGGGGGGAUUGGUGGUGGAAUGAAGAGGUGGGGAAGAAAGUGGAGACCAAGAAAGAGUCGUAUGCUAAGUUGGUGGAAAGUAAGGACGAAGAGGAGAAGCGGGUAAACAGGAAAGAGUACAAGCUAGCAAGGAAGGAGGCGAAGUCAGCGGUCACGGCAGCUAAGACGGCUGCUUUUGAGAGCUUGUAUGCAGGGUUACAGGGGAAAGGAGGGGAGAAAAAGUUGUUCCGACUCGCUAAGGCUAGGGAGAGGAAGGGUCGUGACCUCGAUCAGGUGCGGUGCAUUAAGGGGGAGGACGGUAGAGUGUUGGUGGAGGACGGCCACAUAAAGAAGAGAUGGCAGUCGUACUUUCAUAGGCUCUUGAAUGACGAGGGGGACAGAGCUAUUGUGUUAGGGGAACUGGAGCACUCAGGGGAGUGUCGGGAUUUUAGCUAUUGUAGACGUUUUAAGGUAGACGAGGUUAGACAGGCAGUCCGCAGGAUGCGAAGGGGUAGGGCGACGGGGCCGGAUGAGAUACCGGUGGAGUUUUGGAAGUUCGUUGGAGAGGCUGGUGUAAGGUGGUUGACUGCAUUGUUCAAUGAAAUUUUCAGGACAGCAAAGAUGCCCGAGGCGUGGAGGUGGAGUACCAUGAUCCCCCUCUAUAAGAAUAAGGGGGACAUUCAGUGUUGCAAUAACUAUAGGGGGAUUAAGUUACUGAGUCACUCUAUGAAGAUCUGGGAGAGAGUGGUCGAGGUGAGGCUGAGACGGAUAGUGUCUAUCUCGGAAAAUCAGUUCGGAUUUAUGCCCGGCCGCUCGACGACGGAGGCAAUUCACCUGGUACGGCGGUUGGUGGAGCAAUAUAGGGAAAGGAAGAAGGAUUUGCACAUGGUGUUCAUCGACCUAGAAAAGGCGUACGACAAAGUCCCCAGGGAGGUGCUUUGGAGAUGCUUGGAGGUGAGUGGAGUACCGCAGGCAUAUAGCAGAGUAAUUAAGGAUAUGUAUGAGGGAGCGAAAACCCAGGUGAGGACGGCGGGAGGAGACUCAGAGCAUUUCACUGUCCUGACAGGAUUGCAUCAGGGAUCUACUCUUAGUCCCUUUUUGUUUGCGCUAGUAAUGGAUGUGUUAACGCGGCGUAUCCAAGGGGAGGUGCCGUGGUGUAUGCUUUUUGCAGACGAUGUAGUCCUGAUAGAUGAGACGCGAGGGGGUGUGAACGACAAAUUAGAGCUGUGGAGGCAAACUCUGGAGUCUAAAGGGUUCAGGGUGAGCAGAACCAAGACAGAGUAUGUGGAAUGUAAGUUUAAUGACGUAAGGCGAGAGAAUGAGGUAGUGGUGAGGCUAGAAGCGCAGGAGGUAAAGAAAAGGGAUAAGUUCAAGUACCUCGGGUCCGUGAUCCAGAGUAACGGUGAGAUUGACGAGGAUGUCUCGCACCGUAUCGGGGCGGGAUGGAUGAAGUGGAAACUUGCAUCGGGGGUGCUGUGUGAUAAGAAGGUGCCGCCCAAGCUUAAAGGUAAAUUCUAUAGGGUGGUAGUCCGUCCGGCCUUGCUGUAUGGAGCGGAGUGUUGGCCAGUUAAGAACUCCCACACCCAAAGAAUGAAGGUGGCAGAAAUGCGGAUGUUGCGCUGGAUGUGUGGACUGACCCGAAGGGAUAGAGCUCGGAAUGAGACUAUCCGGGAGAAGGUUGGUGUGACUUCAGUGGAGUGUAAGAUGCGGGAAGCACGAUUGAGAUGGUUCGGACACGUGAAGAGGAGGGGCAUGGAUGCCCCGGUCCGUAGGUGUGAGAGGCUAGCGUUGGAUGGUUUUAGACGGGGUAGGGGUAGACCGAAGAAGUACUGGGGUGAGGUGAUUAGGCGGGACAUGGAACAGUUACAGCUUACCGAGGACAUGACCCUAGAUAGGAAGGUCUGGAAGACGCGAAUUACGGCAGAGGAUUAGGGCCUGUUCGGGUCGCUAAUGUAGGGAGGUAAUUGGUGGGGGGGUAUUCCUGGUAUGAUUCCGUAUUUCAAUGUUCUGUUCCGUGUUCCGUGUUCUAUGUUUGUUACGAAUCUGUGUGCUUUCCUCUGCUUUAUAUUCCUGCAUCCCUGCUUUACUCUGUUUUAUAUUCCUUAUGGCUGCAGUAUCUAUGUUAUGUCAUCUGCUUCUGUGCUGUACUAUGUGUUUGUUUGAUAUCUCGUAACUUGAGCCGGGGGUCUUUCGGAAACAGCCUUUCUACUUCAUCAGAGGUAGAGGUAUGGACUGCGUACAUCUUACCCCCCCCAGACCCCACAAAGUGGGAAUACACUGGGUUUGUUGUUGUUGUUGUUGAAACUAAACAAAUGAUUUAACAGUGAUGAACAUCUAAUAGGAACACUAUAUUAAGUCCUAAUAGAACUAAUCUUGAAUUGGUGCGAAAAAGGAUGAAAAAAAAAUUGAUUUAGAGUCCCUAUUUUUAUAUGAAAAUUAUGUAUAAGAAUGGACAAGAAAUAAAAUAGAUUGUCACUUUAAACAUCACUUGCCCACUUGACUAAUGAAUUGAUGAAAAAUAUGUAACCCAAAAAAAUAAAAUAAUAUAACAUGUCAAAAAGCAACUAUUGUUGUCACCUACACACAAACAAAUAACUUCACUUAUAUUUUUUGUGCCUCGAAUACUAUUCAUAUUUCAAAAUAUGUUUCAAUACCCACAUGCCCAGAAUCUUUCUGCAUUCUUUAAAUAUAUAUUUUAUAGAGUUUCAACCCUAAUUCAAUUUUUGAUUCACCAUUGUAUGCAAUAGAAAUAUUUGGAUAACAAAAUAUAUAAUAUAAUUCAUGAUAAAAAACCUCAUAUAAUUAAUCAAUAAUCGCACAUACUAAAUAAUGCAUGAAAAUAUUUAGAUAAUUUUAUUCAUGCUUUGAUUCAUAUUAAAAACUUACAAACUAAUAAUAUGAAACUGAACAAGAAUCUGUAUGACAAACCAAAUCGAGUAUAGAAGCUAGAACGCAAUCAUCGAAAAACUCGAACGAAAACCUCACGAAUUCAACCUUUUUACUGUCUAUUUUUCUCGUUUUCCUUCUUAUCUUUUCUUUCCUGCCUUUUUUCGAAUUUUUUUCUUUGCUUUUUGCUUUUCAAAAUGUUGUUCUCUUAAUCUGCGUCUUUGUCUUGUUUUUGUUUUCUCCGAAUUUCUCUCAAAUUUCUCACUUACUCUUUUUAUUUCUUCCUCUUUUUUUUAGUUUUCUUUUUUUUUUUUUGGUCCCUUUGAUCUCCCCUGUGUGUGUAUUAUAUGUAUAGUGCAUGUGUGUGCGUGUGUUGUGUUUGGACGUGGGAAAGUUGAGAAAAAUAUGUGAGUGGUUUUAGGUUAUUGGGGAAAGGAUGGUUUUAGGGUAGUGGGUAGAUUAGGAUAGGUUUUUCUCCUUUUUUUUUUUUAAUUAAUAUUUUAAAUAAAAUAAAAAUGAUAAAAUCUAUUUAGAACUAACAAAAUACAAAACAAGUUAAUAACUAGUCUUAGAAAUAUGAUUAAGAAAUAUUAAUAUCACUAGAUUCUUUAUUAAAAGUUAAAAGAAGAAAACAAAUAUAAUUUAGAAAAUUUUCUUUUUCCCUAAAAGCAAAUAAAUAAAUAACCAAUAAAAUAAAAAAUUAUUUAAAAAUGUGACUCUAUUUUUUAUAUAGUUUUCAAAACUUUUAAAACAAACUUUGUAUAAAUAAGAUAAAAUUGAAAUAUCUAAUUUAGAUCUAAAAAUAAAAUAUAUACAUACAUACAUACAUACACACACACACACACUUACACUAAAAAUAGCAUAAAACAUUAGGUUUGAUAAAAAAAAUUAGGCGUUUACAGAAUGCUCCUCUUUGCUUGGAAACAUGGAGGGUUUUCAAACAAAGAAGUGAACACGACUAAUUUUUUAUCAAAUAAUUUAUUCAAAAAUAGAAAAAUAAAUAUGAAAAAGAGGUGUGAUCAAGCCCUUACUUUGAGCAGCCUACAUAUCUCGGAUAAUAAGAGAAUCAGGUCACGUGUAGUUCAAAUGGGUGUAGAAAUGAAAGAAUGAGUUAGAAAGUCGAGUGAGGUUCCGUCAAGGUUCCGAUUCGUGGCUCCAUUUAUUAUAUCAGAGAAAGAAAAAAAAUGAAACUAGAAAGAAAAAUACAAGAACCCAUCUAUUCUACUUAUCUUGAUUCUCUUGUUUCAGAUAUUCUUUUUGGAUCUUUGGUUAUCAUUUCACCUUUUUCUGGUGGGUACCUUGAUCUCAAAAUUUAAUCUUGAAGUUAGGAUUUGAGACGUGAACUUAAAACUUGAAUUGAGUCAUUGGCGCUCCUCCAAAGGACAGUUCAUAAAAUAUUAUUAGAUGCUUGUUCUCUUGAUCAAAAGCUAAGAAGAUGACUCUUGAGAAACUGGGCCGCUACAUAUGCAAAGUUGGCUCUAACUAUCUUCAAGAUUGAACAUUCUUCUCUACUCUAAUCAGAGAUGUGAUUCCAUUCUUGGACAUCAAAUUUGUUCUUUGCAGAAAAACCUGCAAGCCAUCAAAGAAAAACAAACAAAGACGAACAAAAAUUUUCUGCCCCAGUUUGCACUAAGAAAAUUUGGUGAGUUAUUAGAAAAACUAUACAAUAAUUUAAAAAUAAAUAAAUAAAUAAAUGAAAAUGAUAGAAAUCUAAGCUAGGUACACAAUAAAAUAAGAUUCUUGUUCAAAAUAAUGCAAUCAAGAGAUGUUAUACCUAUGAGUGCAUCAAAAGGAAUUGGGAUAUUUACUUCUUAAAAUGCGACUAAGGAUUGUCAUACCCUAUGAAGGCUUAAUGAAGAAAAAUGGGAGAUUUUAAUUUUUAAAAUAUCUACUAGGGGAUGUCGUGCCCUAUGAAGACUUAAUGGAGAAAAAUAAAAAAGUUUGUUUUCCACAAUGACAACUAGGGAAUGUCGUACCCUAUGAAGAUAUAAAGAAGAAAAUAGGAAAUUUUGUUUCCUAAGAUGUCAACUAGGGAAUGUUUUACCCUAAGAAAACAUAAAGAAGAAAAUAAAAAAUUUGUUUCCUAAGAUGUCAACUAGGGAAAGUCGUAUCCUAUGAAGACAUAAAAAAGGAAAUAGGAAAUUUUGUUUCCUAAGAUGUCAACUAGGGAAUCACUAAUAGAAAAAUGUCAAUUACAUGAAAUUUUUUCUGCAAAUUAUAUAUGAAAAUUCGUAGAUAACCUAGUUUUCUGCGAAUUUUCCUACUAAAAAAGUUUGAUGGAAAAACUUUGGUUGAUAAUUAUUACCUGGAAAUUUUAAAAUUUCCAAAUAAGUUACAUGGGGAUUUUGCAAUCGCAUAAAAGUUAUCUUCGAAUUUUCUUGUCAAAAAUGCCUAAAAUUCGAAAAAAAAUUAAUUAAAGAAUUUGUGAAAGUGGUAUAUUCAAGGAAAAUUUCGCUAGUGAAUUUCCUAAUUGGAAUUAGCGGAUCUUCUUUAAUUGAUUCUUUUAUCACACCGUGAUAUUUCACAUCCUUGAAUGGCCCCAUUCGAGAACAAUUGACUGCUGACAAAAUCAUCAACGACUGACAUUCCUUAUUUCUAAUCAACAACGUAUGAAUAGUUCCUUGAGGUUGGUUAAGAGAUUGUUGAAUUUUUGCCUUGGAAUAGGAAUAAAUUGAAGAAAAGGGAUUGAUAUUGGUAUAAUCUGAUCCAUUAUCAGAGAGCAAUUCUGACCUCGACGGAUCAUUCAUUUUUAAAAUUUCCAAAUAAAUUACAUGGGGAUUUUGCAAUCGGAUAAAAGUUACCUUCGAAUUUUCUUGUCAAAAAUGCCUAAAAUUCGCAAAAAAAUUAAUUAAAAAAUUGUGAAAGAGGUAUAUUCAAGGAAAAUUUCGCUCGCGAAUUCCUAAGAAGAGGGGUUGGAUUAUUUUUUAUCUUAUUCAACUAUAUGAAUAUCUCUACUUUCAGGAAUUUAUUUUACUACAUCUACACAACCUACAACAAUCAAGACGGACAUAAAAUCUCCCCACUAUCCUUUUUGACCAACUCUCAAACUCAAGUGCCACUUGCCUAAGCGCACAGUUUGCUCAUUAUAAAGCUUAAAAUGUUGCUUUCCCUGUCCGAUGUGGUACAAGCAAAUGGGUGUAAGUUUUCUUUCAAAAAAAUAUUAUUCAUUCGACCAUGAAAAUUAAAAAUGUAUUCACUUUAUUUGAUAUUUUUAAAGUUGAAAAUAGAGUUGAAGUUGUGUUUGGUCAUAGUAUAAAAAUAUUUUGAACUUUGGAUGCACUUUUUUUAUAAAGUAAUAGAAAAAAUUAAGACUAAAAGAAGUGAAAACACAUCUAGAGGUAUUUUUCAAAAAAUCAAAAAUUGUGAAAAGAUAUUUCAAAAUGCGUAGAGUUUUCAUGGUCAUACAAGUAUUUCAAAAUAAAGUAAAAAUAUAUUUUAAAAUAUUGUUAAUAAUAUUUAUGAUCGAACGCCUACCAAAUAAGGGGAUUAAAUUUCAACUAUAAUUAAGACUGAGUAAAUUAAUGAAUAUUCAUGUCAUUGCUAUCAGUAAAUAAAAUGGUAAAGAUCAUUUGUAUUUAUCAAUUGUUCUUUAAAAAUUAAAUUAUUCCUUACUUUUUUAAUAAUAGAGAUUCUACCCCGUUAUAUGAUACAAUAACUAUUUUAUGUGCAAUUUUUUAAUCAUCUAUCUGUAUCAUACCUUUUUAAUGUUACAUUUAUACGUAAUACUUUAUUUCCUAACUUAGGUAUCAAUUUAACCUAUAGUUUAAAUAAUUUUAUAUCUUAUCAUAAAUUUUACUUAAGCAUUAAUUAACGUUACAAAUAAAAUAAGUCAUUCAUGAAGUUUGACACUAUUUUAUAUGAUGAUUAUUUUAUAGUACAUACAUUGAAUAAUAUACGAUGUAUGUAUGUGCGUAUAUGCGCGUAUAGUUAUGUUUCACUUAUCCCUUGUUUCUUAUUGUUUAUAUGGAUAAACGAGAUUUGAUUUCAUCAAUUGAAUAUUUUAUUUUUGAAACCUAGUUAUUAAGUGAACUGUUGAUAUUUCUUAAAAUUAAAACUAUACUAAUAGUAAGAAAGUCUACAAAUAAAUUUCCUAAAACUAAUAGUUAGUCAUAUUUACGAACCCAAAAUUUCAAGUAAUAAAUUUUUAGAUAAAUUCUCAAGUAAUAUUUUUAGUUUACAAUUAAAAGAUCAUCAAUUAAUAAAAUUUCCAUGUAAAUUCCUAAAAAAAGAUUCAACAAAAUCCACAAUAAUUUUUUUAACUAAUUCCCCAAGUAAUAAAUCCGUUGGUCAAUCCCCAAGAAGUAAUUUCCAAGUAAAAUUACCAAAUCAAAAUUCCCACAUAAUUUCUCAGGUAAGAAAACCUCCGGAUAAAUUCCUAGAUAAAUAUCCCUAACUAAAUUUGCAAGUAUCUUUCUUGGAGAUUUCUCUGCAAAUUAAUAAAGAAAUUUAUUUUAGUCAUUUAUCUGCAAAUUUAUCCAUGAAAAAAAAUUGUGAUUUUCUCCUACAUAAUUUUCAAGGUAAAAUAUUUCACAAAAUGACGCCAAAAGUAUCUAUGGAUUUUCUUGAGAAAAAAAUAUUUUGCAGGUAAAAUACACUAAAAUUUAGGAAUUUCAUAUUUUCGCAUGAAAAUCCCUAAGAAAUUUCUGCGGACAAAAUCCCCAAGUAAAAUUCAUAGGUAAUUCACAUUUUUCUGAUAGUGAAUGUCGUACCCUAUGAAGACUUAAAGUAGAAAAAUAGAAAAUUUUGUUUCCUAAGAUAUCAACUAGGGAAUGUCGUACCCUAUAAAGAUGAAGAAGAAAAUUAGAAAAUUGUGUUACCUAAAAUGUCAAUUAGGGAAUGUCGUACCCUACGAAGACAUAAAGAAGAGAAUCGAAAAUUUUGUUUCAUAAGAUUUCAACUAGGGAAUGUCGUACCCUAUGAAGACAUAAAGAAGAAAAUAAGAAAUUUUAUUUCCUAAGAUGUCAAUUAGGGAAUGUCGUACCCUAUGAAGACUUAAAGUAGAAAAAUAGGAAAUUUUAUUUCCUAAGAUGUCAAUUAGGAAAUGUCGUACCCUAUGAAGACUUAAAGUAGAAAAAUAGAAAAUUUUCUUUCCUAAGAUGUCAACUAGGGAAUGUCGUAACCUAUGAAGACAUAAAGAAGGAAAUGAGAAAUUUUGUUUUCUAAGAUAUCAACUAGGGAAUGUCGUACCCUAUGAAGACAUAAAGAAGAAAAUAGAAAAUUUUGUUUCCUGAGAUGUCAACUAGGGAAUGUCGUACCCUAUGAAGACUUAAACUAGAAAAAUAGAAAAUUUUGUUUCCUAAGAUGUCAACUAGGGAAUGUACCCUAUGAAGUCUUGAAGAAGAAAAUAGGGAAUUUUAUUUCCUAAAAUAGCAACUAGGGAAUGUCGUACCCUACGAAGACAUAAUGUAAUUGUUAUUACCAUAUUUUUUUAAUUUUAUUAUUAUUUUUUUUAGAAAGAAAAAAAAAAGUGCCCCAUUUUCGAAUGUAAGUGGUUUUGAUUUUUUUGAUUUUUUUUUUCAUUUUAAAAAAAGAAGCUCCAAUACUAAACCUUUCAGGGAUAUAAAAAAAUUAAUUCUGCGAGAUCGAACCCUAUUGUAGGAUUGCCUAAGUAUCUUGCGCAGCAAGAAUCGGGUCUAACGUAGUUCAUAAAAAUAUAAUUUUUUUUAUUUCGUUCUAUUUUGAAAGUAUGUGCUUUAUAAAGAUCAGAAGAAUGAAAAAAAUUCAUUUCUUGACUUCGAUUGAUACCAACAAUUAAUAUUAUGCAUAGGAGUCACCUCAAAUUACUUGCAAAUAAGAACCGAAGUCAACUCAAAAGUAAUUAGUAUAGUUUCAAAUGGUACCUCAGGUAUACUUAAGUUUUAUACAAGAUAUAUAUGUCAUGCUCUAAAUUAAGCAUUUAAGUUGCUCUUAUCCUCAUGUUUCUAGUUCCCUUACCGCAACUAAAGUCCUAAUUCACUCACCAUAAAAGAGUUUAAAUUUUAGGACGUUCAAGAAGCACUCACACUCAGAAAGAUAUUCGAUCCAUGCAAUGAGAUACCAUAAGCUUGACCAUCAUGUAAGUAUCUACUAAUAUGAGAACGCUUAGAGUAGGAUCUUGUAGGACUUGUUAUCGGCUUGUAAUGUAGGCUUGGGGAUAGGUAGGAUGAUAUUUGUGAUGUAAGUGACUAAUUCCUCAAUGAGCACUGCAAUGUUUUCAUACUUUUGACAUUUGUUGGGGUUUGACGCUCGAUCUUCUUUGUUGUGCUUCUUUACCCCUUGUUUGAAUCUUGUGUUGGAGCUUUUCCCCUUUUUUUUCGAUAAAUUAGUUUUCUUAUUCUUUUUUUUUUAUGAAGAUUGAUCUCCAUCUUUGUUGGAGUUUUCUAAUUUUUUUUAGGAUUUUUGCUCCUUCUUCUUUGAAAUCGUCUUUUAUUUUUGUUCUCCUGGGACUAUAUGUUCUUGCCUUUGUCGCCUUUGAUCUUUAAUCUUCAUUUGUAACUUGUACGUAUUUAGUGCGCUCAAGAUGGUAGGCCAAAAAAGGGAUAGUGCAUAUAAACACUCGAAAGGUAUAGGCACAGAUGUGGUUAUCCAAGGCUAAGCUUUCAAGCUCAAAGGGGAAAAUGAUAAGGAUUAAUGUCAUUUGGUGGGUUGUGGAAUGCACAAUCGGAUCAAAGAAGGCCUACAAUCCUUUCCCAAAUCAAGUGUAUCUCAGAAUUUUGCCUCAAUAGACAUUCAAGCCAAGUUCUAGAUCAACAGAGCGAUGCCAUUGAAUUUUCAAUCUAAAGCUCACUACACAAUACACAUGAAACAAUAAGGUAAAUUUUAGUAUAAUUAGAGGUACUAAAAGAAUCUAUAGUUCACAACCAAGUUAGUCCACUCUAUCAUGUUUUAUAAUUUAACAUUUUUUUAAUUCAUAUUUUUAAGUAUGUUGAUACCAUUUGUUAAGUCAAGAUUUUUUUUUAGAUGAGACCGAACCCAAAAGAAGAAUUGCCUACGUAUCUUGUUUAAACAAGAAGCAGGUCAGACGUAGUUCAGGAAGCUUAAAAUAUGAAGUAACAAAUUAUUCUUUUUUUUUUUUGAAUUUUGAAUAAGGAAGAAAAACUUUUUCUUUUUAAAAUUUUUCUUUUUUAAUACGAACAAUUUAUAUAUAUGUUUUUUUUUUUUACUUUGGAAAGAAAAAAAAUAAUAUAUGUAUUUACUUUUUUAAAAAAAAUUGUAUAAGGAUUUAUUUGAACAAAAUCAACAACCUUUUUUCAAUAAAUAUUUUUUGAAUGAGGAUCACCGAACCCGAAAAGGGUUGCCUACAUAUUAAAUUGAGAUGAGAAUCAGAUGUCUGUAGUUCAUGAAACUAGAGACAUGAAGAAACCCACUUUAUUUGAAUAAUGAAAAGAAAAUAAUUUUUUUUAAUUUAUUAUUAAUGAUUUUUUUUUUUUUUGUAAAUUUUUGAAAGAGAAUUGAUUAUUUUUUUUUAUAAGGAUCAAAACUCUUUUUUUUUUUUAAGAAAGUACAAACUUCGUUUUUAAGGAUCACCAAACUUGUGGAGGGCUGCCUACGUAUCUCACUGAAAUGAGAAUCAGGUGUGCGUAGAGACAUGGAGAAAAUUAAUUUUUAUUUGACUAAUGAAAAGAAAAUGAUUUUUUUUGAAUUUAUUAAUAGUGAUUUUUUUUAAUUUUUGAAAACGAAUUGAUUGUUUUUUUUUUAUAAGGGUCAAAGUUCUUUUUUUUUUUUUUAAGAAAAUACAACCUUCGUUUUUAAGGAUCGCCGAACUCGUGGAGGGCUGCCUACGUAUCUCACUGAUAUGAGAAUCAGGUGUGCAUAGUUCGUCCAACUGGAGAAAUUAAGAAAAUCAAUUUUGAUUUGACUAGUGAAAAGAAGAUAAUUUUUUUUUUUGAAUUUAUUAGUAGUGUUUUUUUUUAAUUUUUGAAAACGAGGUGAUUGAUUUUUUUUUAUAAGGAUCAAAACUCUUUCUUUUUUUUUUCUUUAAGAAAAUGUAACUUUUGUUUUUAAGGAUCACCGAACUUGUGGAGAGUUGCCUACAUAUCUCACUGACAUGAGAAUUAGGUGUGCGUAGUUCGUCUAGAUUAGGGCAAACUUGAUAAUUUAGAAAUUCUUAUCUUUUAUUUGUGAAAGAAAACAUUACACUCCAUUUGUAUUUUGAUAAAGAAUAGGUAUUACAAUUUUCACCCCCUCUUACGUCCAUGAUUUCACUUUAAAGUCGACCAACAUAGAGCCUAACUAGUUAAUACAACUAGUAGCACAGAAAAAUAAAUAGGCUUAAAAGAGGAUAUGUUUUAGAUAUACUGAGACCUUUAUCGAGCCUCCACUAAAUCAAAAUGUAUUCGAUGCAAAUAAAGCGGAUUCUUAUGGAUCUGAGGCUUGAUCUACUAGAUUUAUCAUCCUGAUGGAAUAAGUGUCUAGACUGACUGUAAAAUGAGCGGACAAUUCGAGUAGGGCAGGGACAGCUUAUCGGUAGCAGUGCUUUCCGGCCUCACCAUUGGUCAUUCCAAUAUUAAAACUUGUGUGACUAUAGAAUCAUUCCUAAGAGCAUUGCCGCAUCUUUGGUAUCUCAAGGCUUGGGAGCAUAUACCGUAUCUCCGAACAUAAAGUAUCUCAGAUGACUCAGAUGAGAGAAUGAGAGAAGAUAGUUUAUAUUGCAAUUCAAAUAAUAUUGCUGUUUAUCCCCAGCAGAGUCGCCACCUGUCACACCCCUAUUUUUACUGCCCCAAUCCCGCUAGGGAGUUAGUUUUAGAGAAAAUGAAUUUUUUCAAUUCAAUCGACGUUUUGAAAAAGAUUAUUUAUUUUACAGAGUCGCCACUUAAAUUGAGUUUGAGUGUUCCAAGUCACAUUAUUGAAUCCCCAAUCAAAAGGAAAUAACUCUUUCUUUUUGGUCUGUGAAUAGAAAUUUGGAUAAGAAAUUCUGUUAGCCUAGAGGAAGGUGUGAGGCACCCCUCGAGUCCCGUGGUUCUAACACGGUCGCUUUAAUAACUUACGUCCGACUUAAGUUAAUCUCUUGAAUAUACAAUAUUUGUUAGCCUAAAAGUAACUUUCAUCCAGCUUUUAUUUAUUUAAUUUAAAUUAUCUUAUUAUAUUAAUGUGUGGCUUACCGAUAGCAGUACGUUUUGGUCAUACCACAAGUUUGGAUAUAUUUAUUACGCCUUUGAGGCAUUUAUGAAUCGUGCCCAUUUUUUCAAGUCUAAAUAAGCUUCUAAGAUGUUUAGAAUCUACCCAACUUGAUUCAAUCGACUUCAAAUAGCAUAUUAAAUUUUAUAAUAACGAAUGGUCAGCAGCAGGACUUUCCAACUUCAUCGUUAACUUUCACUUGUAUUGUAAAUCUUAAUUUUUUGAGGUUAAGAACCUAACUCAUUCUUUUAUGAAUUCAUUCCCUUACAAUUGAUUUGUCCCCUCUCUUUUCCUCAAUAUCAAUAGGUCUUCAAUAAAUUCUCAAUCAAUCCCACUCAUCCUCACACAACUAGUUCGGGCUUUAAACCAAUUGAGGCCGUAAAAUAUUUUAUGACUUAAGAAACUAGUGAUUGUCUCAUGUUGCACAUUGUUUCGAGUCAGACCGUGAAGAAUAAACUUGAAAGUAUAUUAAACGACAUGCAUGUUUGUAGUUUAUAUAACUUAUAAACUAUAAGUAACGUACUACAAAUCCACUAUUACAACUCGCAACUCUCCAAUUUCAAAUAAUAUAUAAUAUUAUGAUCUUAUUUAUAUCUAAACUUUCACGUGCCAGUAAAUUAUAAAUUAGAGACCGUAACUUUUAUAUAGUGUCUUGUCAUUUAUCUUAAAUAAAUUUUUCAAACUAAACAAAUGAUUUAAUAGUGAUGAACAUCUAAUAGGAACACUAUUAAGUCCUAAUAGAACUAAUCUUGAACUGGUGCGAAAAAGAACUAAAAAAAAAUUGAUUUAGAGUCCCUAUUUUUAGAUGAAAAUUAUGUAUAAGAAUGGACAAAAAAUAAAAUAGAUUGUCACUUGAACAAUUUUAAACAUCACUUGCCCACUUGACUAAUGAAUUGAUGAAAAAUAUGUAACAUCAAAAAAAAAAAAACGAAUAUAACAUGUCAAAAGCAACUAGUGUUGCCACCUACACACAAACAAAUAACCUCACUUGUAUUUUUUUGUGCCUCGAAUACUAUUCAUAUUUUAAAAUACGUUUCAAUACCCACAUGCCCAGAAUCUUUGUGCAUUCUUUUAAAUAUAUAUUUUGUAACCCUAAUUCAAUUUUUGAUUCAUCAUUGUACGCAAUAGAAAUAUUUGGAUAACAAAAUAUAUAAUAUAAUUCAUGAUAAAAAAUCUCAUAUAAUUAAAUCAAUAAUCGCACAUUAUGAAACUGAACAAGAACCUGUAUGACAAACCAAAUCGAGUAUAGAAGUUAGAACGCAAUCAUCGAAAAACUCGAACGAAAACCACACGAAUUCGGCCUCUUUAAUGUCUAUUUUUCUCGUUUUCCUUCUUACCUUUUCUUUCCUGCCUUUUUUCUAUUUUUUUCUUUGCUUUUUGCUUUUCAAAAUGUUGUUCUCUCAAUCUGUGUCUUUCUCUUGUUUUUGUUUUCUCCGAAUUUCUCUCAACUUCUCACUUACUCUUUUUCCUUCUUUCUCUUUUUUUCAGUUUUUUUUUUCUGGCCCCUUUGAUCUCCCUAUGUGUAUUAUAUGUAUAGUGCAUGUGUGUGUCGUGUUUGGAUGUGGGAAAAUUAAGGAAAAUAUGUGAGUGGUUUUAGGUUAGUGGGGAAAGGGUGAUUUUAGGGUAGUGGAUAGAUUAGGAUAGUUUUUUUUUUUAAUUAAUAUUUUAAAUAAAAUAAAAAUGAUAAAAUCUAUUUAGAAAUAAUAAAAUACAAAAUAAGUUAAUAGCUAGUCUUAGAAAUAUGAUUAAGAAAUAUUAAUAUCACUAGACUCUUUAUUAAAAGUUAAAACAAGAAAACAAAUAUAAUUUAGAAAAUUUUCUUUUUUUCUAAAAAUAAAUAAAUAAAUAAAUAAAAUUAUUUAAAAAUGUGACUUUAUUUUAUUUUUAUAGUUUUCAGAACUUUAAAAAUAAACUUUGUAAAAAUAAGAUAAAAUUAAAAUAUCUAAUUUAGAUCUAAAAAUAAAAUACAUACAUACAUACAUACAUACAUAUAUAUAUACAUACAUAUCUCUCUCUCUAUAUAUAUUAUAACACUAAAAAUAGCGUAAAACAUUAGGUUUGGUUAAAAUUAAUUGUUUACAAACAUCCAUUUAGGCAAAGAGCCAUCAGAACUUGGAAGAUCUUGGCAUGUGCUUUCUUAUUUUUAUCCUUGUGAUAGGACGUCCAUGUUAGGUAAUUUUUUUUGGUAAUUACAAAACUUUUUGUGGUGCUAGAAAUUUAAUUCUAAUAGAAUAAGAAAAUGCACUAUCAACUGAAAGUUAUCACUUCAUAGUUAAUUAUUUUUUCUGUUUUGUUUUUAGAGUUCAAUUUAUUGGAGAGUUUAUAUUAAAAUGAAAAUCAUUUUAAUAAAACUCAUGCAUAUAUACUUUACGAGAAAAAUUGCUAAGAACUCUAAAUUGAUUCUGCUGCUAUGUAGAUCUUUAAGAAUAAUUUUAGUAAUCAUCGAUUCCAUAUGGAUCCAAUGUGCAACUCAGUAUCUAUAUUUACAUGAAAGAUUGGUUUGUUCACUCAUGAUGUAUAAUUUGGUAGAUGGUUUCAUAUAUUACAUACUUUACAAAUCCUUUUUAACAGAUAACUAUUCUUUAUUUAUGGGAAUAGGAGUGUAAGGUUAAAGCACUAAUCUUAGGCUCAACAUGAAUUUGCUAUUUUAACUCUUUAAAUUCUGAAUUUGAUGUAAUGUGGGAGUUCCUUCUAAUAAAGACUUAACAAUGUUUUGCGACUCUCCUUAGUGUUACGAGGUUAGUAAAAUCUUUUUUUCUAAAAUUAUUAUUUCAUUGUUUUAAUAAUAUUCAAUAUUGAUUAUCAUAAAUAUUCUCUACAUGAAUAUAUGAAAGUUUUGUUUAUGUACAAACUCCUAAAUAUUUUAAUGCUAUAUAUUUUGUAUAAUGGUUAACCGUGCAUGUAUGAUGUACCAUGGUAUAUGUUAUUUGUAGAUAACAGAGUAUUGAUUGAUGAGAUACACGACGAAGUUAAUAAUAGACUGAAGAUUUAUAGAUCCUAGCCAAACCCUAUUGUUAUCAUCUUUUUAAUUUUUUUUAUUCAAUGAUAUACACAAUUUUACUAGACGUUUUAAGGUAGACGAGGUUAGACAGGCAGUCCGCAGGAUGCGAAGGGGUAGGGCGACGGGGCCGGAUGAGAUACCGGUGGAGUUUUGGAAGUUCGUUGGAGAGGCUGGUGUAAGGUGGUUGACUGCAUUGUUCAAUGAAAUUUUCAGGACAGCAAAGAUGCCCGAGGCGUGGAGGUGGAGUACCAUGAUCCCCCUCUAUAAGAAUAAGGGGGACAUUCAGUGUUGCAAUAACUAUAGGGGGAUUAAGUUACUGAGUCACUCUAUGAAGAUCUGGGAGAGAGUGGUCGAGGUGAGGCUGAGACGGAUAGUGUCUAUCUCGGAAAAUCAGUUCGGAUUUAUGCCCGGCCGCUCGACGACGGAGGCAAUUCACCUGGUACGGCGGUUGGUGGAGCAAUAUAGGGAAAGGAAGAAGGAUUUGCACAUGGUGUUCAUCGACCUAGAAAAGGCGUACGACAAAGUCCCCAGGGAGGUGCUUUGGAGAUGCUUGGAGGUGAGUGGAGUACCGCAGGCAUAUAGCAGAGUAAUUAAGGAUAUGUAUGAGGGAGCGAAAACCCAGGUGAGGACGGCGGGAGGAGACUCAGAGCAUUUCACUGUCCUGACAGGAUUGCAUCAGGGAUCUACUCUUAGUCCCUUUUUGUUUGCGCUAGUAAUGGAUGUGUUAACGCGGCGUAUCCAAGGGGAGGUGCCGUGGUGUAUGCUUUUUGCAGACGAUGUAGUCCUGAUAGAUGAGACGCGAGGGGGUGUGAACGACAAAUUAGAGCUGUGGAGGCAAACUCUGGAGUCUAAAGGGUUCAGGGUGAGCAGAACCAAGACAGAGUAUGUGGAAUGUAAGUUUAAUGACGUAAGGCGAGAGAAUGAGGUAGUGGUGAGGCUAGAAGCGCAGGAGGUAAAGAAAAGGGAUAAGUUCAAGUACCUCGGGUCCGUGAUCCAGAGUAACGGUGAGAUUGACGAGGAUGUCUCGCACCGUAUCGGGGCGGGAUGGAUGAAGUGGAAACUUGCAUCGGGGGUGCUGUGUGAUAAGAAGGUGCCGCCCAAGCUUAAAGGUAAAUUCUAUAGGGUGGUAGUCCGUCCGGCCUUGCUGUAUGGAGCGGAGUGUUGGCCAGUUAAGAACUCCCACACCCAAAGAAUGAAGGUGGCAGAAAUGCGGAUGUUGCGCUGGAUGUGUGGACUGACCCGAAGGGAUAGAGCUCGGAAUGAGACUAUCCGGGAGAAGGUUGGGGUGACUUCAGUGGAGUGUAAGAUGCGGGAAGCACGAUUGAGAUGGUUCGGACACGUGAAGAGGAGGGGCAUGGAUGCCCCGGUCCGUAGGUGUGAGAGGCUAGCGUUGGAUGGUUUUAGACGGGGUAGGGGUAGACCGAAGAAGUACUGGGGUGAGGUGAUUAGGCGGGACAUGGAACAGUUACAGCUUACCGAGGACAUGACCCUAGAUAGGAAGGUCUGGAAGACGCGAAUUACGGCAGAGGAUUAGGGCCUGUUCGGGUCGCUAAUGUAGGGAGGUAAUUGGUGGGGGUGUAUUCCUGGUAUGAUUCCGUAUUCAAUGUUCUGUUCCGUGUUCCGUGUUCUAUGUUUGUUACGAAUCUGUGUGCUUUCCUCUGCUUUAUAUUCCUGCUUUCCUGCUUUACUCUGUUUUAUAUUCCUUAUGGCUGCAGUAUCUAUGUUAUGUCAUCUGCUUCUGUGCUGUACUAUGUGUUUGUUUGAUAUCUCGUAACUUGAGCCGGGGGUCUUUCGGAAACAGCCUUUCUACUUCAUCAGAGGUAGAGGUAUGGACUGCGUACAUCUUACCCCCCCCAGACCCCACAAAGUGGGAAUACACUGGGUUUGUUGUUGUUGUUGUUGUACUAGACUUUGGUGACCAUAAAAAAUAACGCUGCUAAUUGCGUUGGUUUUAUUUGUUUGAUAUUGGUUUAAUUUCGUCAAUUCAUGUUUCGCUUUACCAGAUGCUUGAGUUUAUGUAAAGGGGUUGAACGGAAAUAUUAAGUCAUCAUUCAAAUUCAAAAAUCAAAAUAUUUAGCAGAGUGGAUAACCAUAAAAAUGUUUCAUGUGAAUUUGAAAAAGAGCACACUAUUUUGAAUAUCUAUCGUAUUGAUAAAUGCGUAACAAUUUUAGUUUUUCCUCUAUAUAUUUUAUGAACAAUGUAGAGUGUAGACUCAUAUGCAAAUGAAUCACUUGGCUCUCAAGAAAGUAACAGUUUAAUAGGGAUUUUUACACAAAUAGCUGGUUGGAUUUACUGUUUAUUUUUUCUUUUCAUGGUAUACAUAGAUUAUACACUAAUUAUAAUAAUUAUACACAUAUUAUACAUCUUUUAUAAACCUUCCAACUUUUUAAAAUUAGAAGUGUGAAGGCCUUAAAAUUCUCUGUAAAUCUUAGCAAGAUAAUUAAAGAAAUUUAUUAAAAUGUCGAUCAGCUUUAACAAAAUAAUUAUGUAUGUUCUCUAAAUGUGCAUAUUUUCCCUAGCCUGCAGAGAAAUAUCCAUCCAUAUUCUCGAAGGAUUCUAUAUUUAGGAGCCAUUAAUAUAGUCUGUGCAUAUAAGGAACCACUCGCGUAACCGUUGCUCCACAUCCAUCUAUAUUUUAUUGAUAUCGGUGUUUACUUUGUUAUAGUGGUAACAACUAUAGAUGGUAGUACUGAUCCAAGCCACACACAGUUGCAAAAACAUGAAUAUGGAAAAAAGAUAUCUCACUAGCAGCAUUAUGCAAGUCAAAGUAAAUGAUCUCUCUCUCAUCUCUGUAGCAUGCAAUCACAUGCACAUAUAUUUGAUAGGUAAGAAAUAUCACCAGGUAAAUCAUAUAAAUUCAAUGAUUCGAUGCACCCUCUGAUAUUACUAGAUAUGAAGACAAUGUGUUUAUAUCAUCAGAAAUGAAUCACAUAUGUUGGUUGAGAAUUGAUAGACUAUUACUACACCAAAAAUGAUCUUUAGCUGUAAUUAUUUAAUGGAAAUAACUUAAUAACCACUUUUUUUUCAAGAACAAAAAUCAUAAAAUAAAAAAAGAAACAAUUUUUAUAUUUAAUAAGUCAAAAGUUUUAUUAAUACAAUUUUGAAUCUACAUACUUUUUUUUGAUCCAAGCAAAAAGAGAAUGUCUAGCAGAGUUAUAAUUACACAUUUUCCAGGCUACUAUAACCUAUACAACUAGCUUACAAAAGAAUUGGCUUUGUCACACCGUAGCCUUACACUAGCCACCUGUCUUUGUCCAGUAAUUAAGGUCCAAGGACCUCAUUAGGUAAUUGAUUCAAAUUCUGUGCAAUGCGAGGAGUAUCUAAUGCAGUGGCUAAUUUUGCUAAGCAGUCAGCAACCAUGUUAGCUUCUCUGUAACAAUGAGUGAAAAUCACGUCAUUAUUCUCUAUUAUCGCAUCGGUCUUUUCAUAAUAGGUUUAAGAAUCAGAUUGUUGGACGUUUUGUUCCUCAACAUAUCAUCGACAAUGCUAGAGUCAAGUUCAAUGGUACAAUGUUUGAGAUUAGCGUUCUUAAUCCAUUGUGCAGCAUACUUUGCUGCCAUAGCUUCAACUACAUUGUGAUUUUGGCAUUUUACUAGAACAGCAUACACAAAAAUCCUAUUUCCACCCCCAUCCCCGACAACUCCACCAAUGCCUGCCUUUCCGUUCUGCUUCAUAAAUCUUCCAUCUGUAAUGAUCUUUAUCAUUCCCGCUUGAGGCCUACUCCAAGUAACUAAACUACUUGUGACUUUUGGCCUUAGUUUCUCGAUCACUUCGCAAAGUUAAUUCCACUGGUAGUUCAUCUUAAUAUUAGGAAAGGCUUUAGCCAUAGCUAAUUUGAGGUUCCACAGAAUUUGAUACUCCAUUCUUCUUAGGUAGAAUCUGGACUGGUUGCCGUAUCUACAAGCACAUCUGACCUUCCACAUCUCCCAGCAAAUAAUGAUCGAUAGUAUUUGAAUGAUCAGCUUGUGAAUAUUGGUUGGAGUACUCCACCAAUCUUGUAGAAAAAUCCUUGCAGAUUUUCUUUGAUAGCUGAUGCCCAAUGGCUGGUCAAAUUAUUUUCAAAGAGUUUGUGUAACCUCACUCUCAAAAAAGAAAUGUUGGAUAGUUUCUAUUACUGCAACUGCAUAACAAAAGCAAUCGGUUGAAAUAUCAUCAGCAAACCUGCAAACUGAAUUUUUAGCAAAUGGCAAUUUAUUUUUAAUAAGUCUCCAAGAAAUGAAAGAUAUUUUAAAAGGAAUUCUUUUAUGCCAAACUCUAUUGAUCAUCUGGUCAAUUUGCCUGUGCACUCUGAUGUUGUUCCAGGCGUCUUUGUUGGAAAUAAUUCCAUCAGCAGCUGGUUUCCAUAUAAUGUAGUCAUUUUUGUCAAGAGUGCCUAUUUUGAUAGUGUAUAUGUGUUUAUAGAUCCAAUCAGGGAGAACGUCAUGAAGUUUUUUUAUAUCCAAUCUCUGAUUGUCAAUAAAAUUUGUGACCUUGGUGUCCUUAUAGAAUUGUUAUGUUCUAGACAUAAAUGAGCAAUAGCACCAGGACCAGUCCAAUUGUCCCACCAAAAAUUGCAUUCUUCAUUUUGAAUAUUCCUAAUCAUAUUUUGUUCUGCUUUUCUUCUUAUUUUAGUCAAAGUGCUCCAAAUAUAAGAGUUCCCAGAAAUCCAAACCUUGUUAACUGGAUGGGCUCUAAUGUAGUAUUUUACCUUAGUGGACUUGGACCAAAGAGAAUCCUGGUAUCUGAACCUCCACCAUUUUUUUUGUUGAGACUCUCACAAAUAUCAACCAUUAUUCGUAUUCCCGCUCUUCCUUCCUCUUUAGGAAAGCAUGAGUUCUUCGAUGAACUUCAGUGGUAAUUGUUUUUUCAAUUUGUGGAUCCCCCCCACAAAUCUGACAAAGUGUUUCUCCAUAAGCUUUAUAAUUUCCUUUGGGGGACUUAAAGCGGUGAUUUGUAACUUGGCAAAGACUGAAGGACUGUUUAAUAAGCAUAAUUUUCAACCUAAAAGAUAACAUGUUACUCUGCCAUCCAUUAAACCUUUUGAUUACCUUGGAAAGCAAUUUUUCAAUUCAAAGUAUUACACUCUCUUUUUACCAACAUAAAUCGAGCAUCCCAAAUAAUCAAAUGGAAAUUGCUUAUCCAGAAAGCCAGUUUCAUCUCUUAUUUUGUUGAUUCUGCUUAGUCCAGUACCAGGGGCUGUAAGGAAAAAACACUUGUUUCUAUUCAUCUUUUGGCCUGAAUAUCUCUCAUAUCAUUGAAUCUGUUUCAUCAUCAUUUUAAUAGAUUUGGUAUUGUCACUGGUAAAUAUACAAAUGGUUAAUAAUAGGACCUGUAUUAGACAUAGAAAAAGGCAAAAAAUGUUCACUAUGAAUUAGAUUAUUAAGCAGCCUAGAUAGAACUUUAGCACCAAUUAUGAAAAGAGAAGGAGAGAUAGGAUCUCCUUAUUUAAGGCCCUGGUAAAAAAAAACCAUUUCUGGUUCCAUUAAUAAUAAUGGAAUACCAUAUAUUGGAGAUAAUGCUCAUGAUCAUGUUUGUGACUUCUAUAGAAAAACCAAACCUUUUUAAGACAACAAUAAGAAAAGACCACGACAUUCUGUCAUAUGCCUUAGUCAUAUCAAGUUUGAUGACCAUAUUUCCUUCUUUGUUCUUGCUUUUGAUAUUAUGCACAAUUUCCUGAGCUAAUUGAACAUUCUCUGUAAUAAGCCUUCCUUUCAGAAAACCACUUUGAUUUUCUGACAUCAUAAAAGGCAACAUAGUAUUGAGUCUUUUGGAAAUAAUCUUGGUAAUAAUUUUACUAGAAAAUUUUCUCAAGCUAAUAGGUCUGAAAUUAGAGAGGUUGUUUGGGCACUCUACUUUACGGAUUAGUACUAGAAGGGUAUGAGUGAAGAAUUUGGUCAGUUUUCCUCCGAGAAAGUAAAACUGUACAAAUUCUAUCACAUCCUUUUUAAUAAUAUCGCAACAAGUAUGGUAGAAUUUCCCUGAAAAUCCAUUGGGUCCAGGUGCACUAUCUGUGCUCAUAUUGAAUACUGCAUCUUCAUAUGGACAUGAAGUCAUAAUCCUAUUAUCAUCAUCAGUAAUGCAGGUGGGAAUACACUUCAAAAUCCUUGGAUCAAUAGUAGCAUUUUUUAGAUAAAAAAGUUGUUCAAAAUAUUUGAUAGCAACUUUGGCAAUUUUAUCAUCACCAGAGACCUACUUUCACUUCUUAUUUUGAUUCUAUGUAAACAUAAAAUUCUUCUUCUAUCUCUGAUCAUAACAUGAAAAUACUUGGUAUUACUAUCACCCUACUCAAACCAUCUGACAUGAGAUUUUUGGUUCUAAAAAUUGUCCUGUCUAUCGAGCCAGCAAAUAUAAUCUACCUUCCCUUUAUUCAAUUCCUCCUUAGUAUCUUCAGUUCUCAAAUUUAAGUCCAUAUCCUCUAACACUUGCAUUUUUGCCUCCUAGAUAUCAGCUUGUUCAAUCACAUCUCCAAUAUCUUCCCUUGACCAUUUGGAUAGUCUUCUUCCCGUGAGUUUGAGUUUCUGUUGUAAUCUCCACAUUAGAUUACCUUCAAUGACCUUAUUCCAUUCAUUACUCACAAUGUCAAGAAAAUCCUACUGAGUAGUCCAUAAGUUCAAAAAUUUGAAGUAUUUUUUACAAACAUUGUUUCUGUUACGAUAUCUCAACAACAAAGGUUUGUGGUUCAAUCCAGUCCUUGGUAAGUGUUUAAUAAUGUUGGAGCAAAAGAUUUGAGACCAUCUAUCAUUGAUAAACACCCUAUCCAGCCUUUUCCAAAUUCUCUUGCUUGGUCUCCAAUUGUUGCACCAAGUGAAUUUAGAACCAGUGUACCCGAUAUUGAUCAUACCACAAGAACCCAUACAUUCAACAAAAUCAUAACUUUCAACAUUUUUAUGAGGCAGACCUCCCAAUUUCUCUUUGGAGUGGAGAAUCAUAUUAAAAUCUCCCCCAAUACACUAAGGAUGACUAAUAAUAGCAUCUAUAGAUUCCAAACUCCUCCAUAAUUCUAUUCUUUCGAUACGAGUGCAUUUGGCAUAAAUAGUAUUUACAUAUAACUCCUGGAUGUUAUGGUCUUUUUGAACUUUCAAAGUAAUAUACUGUUCAUGGUUCUCAAUGGUAGUAACAGUACAAUUCUCUCUCCAGAAACACCACAUCUGUCUGUUGAUAUUUGUAGUGCAGUGGUUGAAUGUCAAAAAUCUUUUAUACCCUUCCACUUUGUUCAUACUCACCGUCGGUUCUGAAUAGUGAUCAUAUCCAAGUUAUAUUUGUUAGCCAUCCUUUUGAGUCUAUGACUGGCUUUUCGAAACCUCACCCCUCUUAUGUUCCGAAUGAUUGCACUGAUCAUUAGGAAACGAUUAAAGGUUGGAGUUUUUAUUUCGACCCCCUCCCCCCAAAAAAAGGAGGUGUCGAUUUAAUUCUGCUAGAUUUUGUACCUAUGUUUCUUCUUCUAUGGCUGUUUCUACCUCUCUUUACGUGAGAUAUAUCAUUUCUAUACAUGCUCUCUCAGAUGUUGUUGAGCAUCGCUUUCCUCUUCAUUUCUCUCAAUUGAUUCUUAGCAUUCCGUUGGAUUCUCAUUAGUAACCUCCAAUUUUUCAUCAUUUGUAUUGCCAAUCACUUCUUGAGAUCUGUAUGUAUCCAACAUAUUACCACUAAAUAUAUUUUUUAGAGGUAUUUAUCAGCGACUUUACAUUUUAGCUCAAUUUGUAAAUGCCCCUAAAGCCUAUAGCAUCAUUAGAUUCAAUGGCAGUUAACUAAUGUGAUAUAAAUUUUAGCACUCUUUGUCAAAGUACAUAUUUAUUGCCGCUAAUUUUUUUUUUUGGUGAUAUAAAAAGGGUCAUCCCAAUUAUGCCUUUAGCAUGUUCAGUUGCAGAUUGCUGCAAGGCAGCUUCUAGAAGUCAAAAGCCUCCAUUACAUGUUUUUUCUCAAUAUGCACGUGAAGUGGAAAUAGCAUCUUCAUCAAAGACGAGUUCUAUGAAAGCUAUACCAACCUUUUCUGAAAAUCGACUCUGAGCAAGAGCUUCACUAAGGCGUAUUAAACUCUCUAGAUGCCUUGGUGUUACCGUAACAGCCUGAAAAAUAUUACAUAUUAGAUAUUAGGUAGUAGUACUUGGUUGUGGGGAUUAUCUUAAGAGUGCAAUAUAAAGAGGCACACUCCAUUCUAUAGCACAUAGUGUUAUUUUUGUAGUUUUCGGGUAGACAAAAAUCUAUAUUUUCGCAAAAUAAUUUCAACACAAGUUCAAGAAUAAAUCAAGAACACUUAUGAAGUUUCCAACACCUUCAACACAAGAUCAAUAAACGACCUUUCAAAGAAGUGUGUUUUCAGUAUUUUAAAGAAAAUUAGAUAAGCAUAAAAAACUAAGUGUCCUUAAAGAAAUAAUUCCCCUGAAGUACCCGAGGUUGCGAAAUUUUCCUCCCAGGAUAAAAUGUCUUAACAAUUCGACUAUAGUAGUACCUCAAACGAUCGGAUUUUCUUUGAACUCAGUCAACAGUUAGAUGAUCACACGUAGUAUUUUAGAAGACAAAUGUUUUCAAGUGCAGAAAAUUUAUUCUAAACUUGUGAAAAAAUGUAGGUUUAUAUAGCUAUUAAGUGUUCUUUUUGAAAGGUGGCAAUGGUUCAUCAGAAAGGUGUAUCCUUUUGAAUAGUCAUGUCUGUCUAUUCGAAAUAGUGUAUCUUUUUCGAACAGCCAAAACCAUCCAAACAGUCAUACCUUUUCCUAAAAUAGUGUCUUUUACUCGAAGAGUUGUGCCUUUCCAAGCAACUUUUCAUUUUUCAUUCACACCAAUUGAACCCAACAAUCCCCCAUAUGAAUGGAAAAUGGCUACUCUUCGUAAAACUUUACGGACAAGUAUGUGAUCAUUAAGCAAAGACUGAUUGCAUCUGGAUAAGUAGGUUUCCCUUUGAACUUUUCAUAUUGAACAUGCAUCGGAUGCACUUGGUCAAUCAGUAUAUUUGAUAUCUUUGAACCAUCGAGCUUUAAUGUACACCUAGACAACACAUGUCAUACAACCAGCCUUUUACCAUUUAUGGUUCUCACAGUUUUUGUUGUUUCAGCCAUGAACACGUCUCGGUCUCAUAAGAGCUUAGAGAAUAGGACUUUAAUAACAUUCUCCUUGAAGUGGCUCCCUCUUUACCCUCACAUAGGUGAUUUCUAAACGUUAAAUCCUCUAGAUUAAUCUAUUUGGUCAAAUAUGCCAAAUUUAGAUAAUCAUUAAAAGACUUCACACCAUAAGUCUUAUCCUUGUUUACUAAACAUUGUCUACAUCAUGAGAAUGGGUUGGGUAUAUUGACAAUGUUGAAUUUGUCAGACACAACUUUAUUUGAUCUCCUUGAAUCUAGCUCUUGGGAUCUCUAGUCUGCUAGGUAGAGUUACUGCCGUGCUGACUUGUCCUAGGCCGUAAAUCCAUUCCCUUGGAUGCUGUUCAAAGCACCAAUAUGCACCCAGAUUUAGACUUGGUUCAAGAACUUUUGUAUGAAUUCUUAAGUAUAAUUCAGCUUUUAUUCCAUUUCGUGCCUAAUAGAUAUGAUUAGUACUUUCAGGUUCAAAAUCAUGAAGAAUUGUGCAUAAUUGGAUACAACGAGAAUAUGGAAGUAGUGAAGGAAUGCAAGAGAGUGAAAUUAAGCUGAAAAAUGGAAGCUGGAAAGUAGGAAUCCUCAUUUGAAGACACUCCGCAUCGCGGGGAUCAACAAAAUAGCAAUGGUCAAAUUCUAGUGAAGGUUCGCGAAACUACCACAUCGCGGAGUAGUUUCAUUUACCAGAUUUAGAGACUUGAAGGUUUAGCGGAGGAUGACUAUUUUGCAACUGUCCCAAUCCAGUGGCUCACCGCGAUAGUGGCGCAUUACGGUGAGGGUGCAUUUUACAAUUGUCAGGGGAUAUUUGAGCUCCCCGAUUUCCUAGAUUUUAAUGGAAAAUAACAAUCAAAGUCAUGGCGCGACAUGUCGUGUGGACAAAUCGAGAAUAUUUUAAGUGUUUUAUCUCCGCUACAAAAGGAAAAAUCCAAGAUAAUGUGGGGGAACUUUUUUUGUCAAGGAGAGCAGCGGCAGAAAAGGAAAAAUUUCUCUCUUUUAGGGUUCUAAAAUAUUCUUUUAAAUUUAUUUACUUCAAGUUUUGUUUUGGGUAUGAUUUAUUACUUAUUUUGGAUGAUGAAUUCAAACAUGAGUAGCUAAACACCCUAUUUCUGGGGUUGAGUCUAAGAACAUGAUUACUCUUUAAUAUUCUUAUUCAUAGUUUCUUUUUGGAAUAUAAUCUGGAUUGUUCUUAAUUUUUUGAGCUUACUAUUUUAACGAUUGACCACAAUUAGAAUAAAUUUAUAUUUCUAUGUGAAUCCGGGAGGAGAAUCAUAGGUUAGAACAAAGAAAUUAGGGAGCAAGGUUCUUAUUAUUUUAUAAAAUAAGGGAUUUGAUUAGUAUCUAGGAUAGGGAUACACCUAGAAGCCUUGCUUGGUUCACUUGCAAGAAGACAACUUCAUGAAUCUAGAAGAUUUGUUGUAACUCUGCGGGAGUUAUAGUUCCAACAUUUAAUAGAUAGAAGAUUUGAGGUCGGGAGACCAAGAUCGUGGCAUAACCCUUACGAACCAGCAACCCAAUGACCAAUUAGACUACGAUAAGAUUAGAGAAUUGUAUAACUGUUCAUAAUACCUCAACCCUGGAAUCGUCCUCAUCAUUGAUUACAACCGUUGCUUGCUUUGCUCUAGUUAUAAUUAAUUAUUUCUUGUUUAGUAAUUUACAUUUUAUUUAUUGAAUCAAAUUAAUCUUGAUACCAUCAAACAAUUAAUACUCAAUUGUCUUGAACUAAAGAUUGAAUAAAUUUCUAGUUUAUUGAUCCUCGAGGGAACGAUAUCUGACUGUCUAAGUCAUUAUAUUACUUGCACGAUCACGUACACUUGCGUGUGCAUAGAGACACAAUAAGUUUUUAGCGUCGUUUCUGGGGAUCAAAUAGAAUUAGUAAAUUGCUUUAAUUUUUGGUUUUUGAUAUUAAGUUUAAGUGUUAACAACUUGAUCUUAGCUACUGAAUUUUUGCAGGUUUAGAUGAACAUUGAACUGGCUAAGGAUAAAGAGUUAGUAGAGCCCUUUGCAGAACCAGAAGUGAUUUUUCAUCAGAGACGAAGAGCUCAAUACUACACUCAACAGGGAUCGAUGGAGGAAAUACGCGAUCCUAUAGUUGUUGAUCCAAAUAUUGGAAAUAUUCUAGCUCCUGUUGUUCCAGUUUUUCCUGUUCAACCAGUCGCAAGACCUGUUCGAGAAGUGGCAAUCCCAGUUACGCACUUUAUGACUAAUAAUAUUCUAAAGCCUGAACUAGGAGGUCGGUAGGAAUUGAAACAAAAUAUGGUGCAAUUGUUGAGAUCUACGGGAGAAUUUCAGGGACUCUCACAUAAAGAUAUAUAGCAGCACUUACAAACCUUCCUGGAGAUAAGCGAUACAUAUAUUCCUGAAGAUGUGAAUGCUGAUUAUGUCAGAAUGACACUCUUUACCUUUUCUCUAUUGGAGGAAGCAAAGAGAUGGAUACUUGCUGAAUCACACCAAUCCAUCACUACAUGGGAAGAUUGGGCUCGAAGGUUUCUCAUUCAAUCUUUUCUAUCUCAAAAAACUGUAUGAUUAAGGAGUGAGAUAUUGAGUUUCAAAAAGAAAGAUGGAGAAAAUCUCUACCAAGCUUGGGAGAGAUUCAAGGGCAUGCUCAGAAGUUGUCCUUAUCAUCAUCAAGCGAAUGAUGUUUUGGUGCAUACAUUUAUAGAAUGCCUUGAGUCUAAUACAAAGAUUCUCUUGGAUUCAGCAGCAGGGGGUCAAGCUUUGGAGAAAACAUAUGAAGAAUUGUAUACCUUGCUGAAUAAAAUUGCACAAGGGAAUCCUAGUUGGUAUGCAGACUCAAGGAAUGCUCCCAAGAAGGUUGUAGGGGUUUUAGAGGUUGAUCAGUUCACUGCAUUACAAGCACAGAUUGCAGCAAUGCAGAACUAUAUGACUACUCAGCUUAACAACUUAAAGUUGGGUACAACACAACUAGUAGCCGCAACAAAUGUAGUUUAACAGGUAUAUUCAUGGUGUAAAGUUUGCAGAAAUGGUGAGCAUAAAGCAGAUGCAUGUUCCGUUAAUCCAGAUUCAAUCAACUACGUAGGGAAUGCAAAUCAUCAGGGUCAACAAAAUUUUGGCAGUACAUACAAUCCAAAUUGAAGGAACCACCCUAAUUUCUCAUGGGGUGGAAAUCAGGCACAUAAUACAAAUCAGUAUAAGGGACUAGUGCAACCAAAUCCACAACCAGUUUAGAACAAUCAGGCGACUGCUUCGAAUAGUAAUAUGGAGGAGAUACUUAAGUAUUUUAUGGAUUAAUAAGUACAGUUUACGGUGGACAUGAAGGCUCAACAGGCACAGUUUGCAGCUGAGUUGAAGAGUAGACAAUUGCUCACAAGAAAUUUGGAGUUGCAGUCAGGUCAAAUUGCAGGAUCGCAGAAUACAAGGCCACAAGGAGCAUUGCCUAGCGACACUGAGGCUAAUCCUAAACAGGUAAAUGCAGUUACAACAAGGAGUGGGCUGCAAACCAAGGAGAUAGUUUAGGAGUAGAAUAAUUUUGUGGUCACUGAUGAUAGGUUGCAAGAGAAUGCAAAAGUGGAAGUAAAAGAAAAAAAGGCUAGUGAGGAGAUUCGUGUAAAGAAGAAGACUAUUCCCUUACCCUUUCCUCAAAGGGCAAGAAAGCAUCAAGAGGAAGCCAGUUUUAAGAAAUUUCUAGAUCUUCUGAAACAAGUCCAAGUAAACCUUCCUCUUGUUGACAUUCUGCAAAGUAUUUCAAAAUAUGCUAAAUACUUAAAGGAUAUUAUUGCCAAUAAGAAUCGAUUUACUGAAUAUGCUACAGCUGUACUUACUCAUGAGUGCACGUCUAAAAUUCAAAAUAAACUACCCGCAAAAUUGAAGGAUCCAGGGAGUUUUACCUUAUAGAUUACCCUUGGUCAAACUAUUUGUGCACGUGUAUUAUGUGACUUGGGUGCUAGCAUAAAUCUCAUGCCUACGUCAUGGUAUUGAAAGAUGGGUCUUAGAAGCCCUAAACCCACAACUAUUGUGUUGUAGUUUGCAAACAGGUCACUUGUUAGAACAGAUGGUAUUAUUGAAGAUGUACUGGUGCAAGUGGGAUCUUUAAUCUUUCCUGUGGAUUUUGUGAUUCUUGACUUUGAGGCUAAUCCAGUUGUUCUAUUUAUUUUGGGACGACUCUUUUUAGCAAUAGGGCAGUCACUCAUUGAUGUGGCAGCUGGAAAAAUAACAAUGUGAGCACACGAUAAAGUAGAGGUUUUUAAUAUGUACAGAGCAUUGAAAUUGCCAGCCAUAUACGAAGAGUUGUCCUCAAUAUCGAUUAUUAAUCUUGCUUUAGAGUGGCAGUUUCUUUUGUCUGAUGAUCCAUUAAAGCGUGCUUUGAUGGAUUAUGAUCUGCAUGGGGAUUUGGAAUCAUUUGAAUUGGUCCAGGUUAGGAAUUUGGCUAUAAUUGAGAUAAAUAAAGUGAUGAUCGAGCCUUUGAAUAGAUCAAUUGGUCCACCACCCAAACCUUUAGUUGAAAAAGCUCCUAACUUAGAACUUAAGGUUCUUCUUCAUCACUUAUAAUAUGUUUUUCUUGGUGAUCAAGAUACCUUGCCUGUUAUUUUGUCUGCAGGAUUAUCAGAUGUACAGGUAAAAAAAGCUGUAGUAGCACUUAAAAGGAGAAGAAAGGUGAUUGACUGGUAGAUAUCUAAUAUUUUAGAAAUCAAUCCAGCAUUUUACAUGCAUAAUAUUUACAUGGAAGAGGGGUACAAACCUAGAAUACAGCAAAAAAAGAGGUUGAAUCCUGUGAUAAAGGAGGUGGUCCGAAAAGAAGUGAUCAAGUAGUUAGAUAGUGGUAUUAUCUACCCAAUUUCCAAUACUAAAUGGGUGAGUCCGGUGUACUGUGUACCAAAGAAGAGAGAAAUGAUAGUAGUGACAAAUGAUGAUAAUGAGUUGGUUCCCACACGUGCAGUGACCGGCUGGAGAAUAUGUAUAGAUUAUCGGAUGUAGAAUGAAGCAACUCAUAAAGAUCACUAUCCAAUUUCCUUCAUUGAUCAAAUGCUGGAUAGAUUGGCAAGACAAGAGUAUUAUUGUUUUUUGGAUGGAUACUCUAGCUACAAUCAAAUAAGCAUAGCACUGGAAGACCAAUAAAAGACCACGUUCACUUGUCCAUACAGUACAUAUGCUUUCAGAUGCAUGCCCUUCGACUUAUGCAAUGCACCUGCUACAUUUCAAAGGUGUAUGAUGGUGAUAUUCUCAGUUAUGGUGGAGAAAUUUAUGGAGGUAUUCAUGGAUGAUUUCUCUGCGCAUGGGAAUUCAUUUGAAAAAUGUUUCCAAAAUCUUGAUAAAGUUCUAGCUCGAUGCGAAGAAACAAACUUGAUGUUGAAUUGGGAAAGUGCCAUUUUAUGGUUAAGUAAGGAAUUGUCUUAGGCCAUAAAGUGUCAUACAAAGGGCUGGAAGUUGACAAAGCAAAGGUUGAAGUGAUUGAAAAGUUGCCUCAUCCAGUUACAGUCAAAGGCGUAUGAAGAUUUUUGAGACAUAUUGGGUUCUAUAGAUGAUUCAUUCAAGAUUUCUCAAAGAUUGCAAGUCCCAUGUGGAAAUUGUUAGAGAAAGAAGCCAAGUUUGAGUUUAGAGCUGAUUGCCAUAAAACUUUUGAAAAGCUUAAGAAGAAGUUGACAGAAGCACCUAUUUUGAUCAUACCAGAUUGGGAGUUACCUUUUGAGGUAAUGUGUGAUGCUAGUGACAUUGCAGUAGGAGCAGUGUUGGGUCAAAUAAAAGAAAUGAUAUUUCGAUCGAUCUACUAGGCUAGCAAGGUACUGAAUGAUGCUUAAGUUAACUACACAGUUAUAGAGAAAGAGAUGUUGGCUAUGGUAUAUGCAUUUGAUAAGUUUUGAUCUUACUUAAUUGGUACCAAGGUCAUUGUUCAUACAGGCCAUGCUGCUAUUAAGUAUCUUGUGAACAAAAAGGAUGCAAAGCCAUGACUAAUUAGGUAGAUUGUGCUACUUUAAGAAUUUAAUCUUGAGGUGCAUGAUAGAAAAGGAGCUAAAAAUUAAGUUGUUGAUCAUUUAUUAAGGCUGGAAAAUUGAGACUAUAUUGUGGAUGACUUUCAGAGUAUCAAGAAAGACUUUCCUAAUGAGAAGUUGUUGUUAUUAGAACCAGUUGAGUUCCCAUGGUAUGCUGACAUUGUAAACUUGAUAGUUUGUGGGGUGUAUCCUGCCCAAACCACCUCGCAUCAAAGAAAGAAAUUACUCCAUGAUUCUCGUGCUUAUAUUUGGGAUGAACUGUACCUUUUCAAGAAGGGUCCAGAUGGAGUGAUUCGUAGGUGUAUCCCAGAGGCUAAAUUUUCAAAGGUGUUAUAAGAUUGCCACUCAUCUCCAUAUGGUGGACAUCAUGGGGGUGAAAGGACUGUGAGAAAUAUGUUGCAAUCAGGAUUUUUAUGGCCGACUCUGUUUAGAGAUACAGUGGUGUUUGUAAAGAGUUAUGAUCAAUGUCAAAGGUUGGGUACUAUAUCUAGGCAUCAUGAGAUGCCCCUGAAUAAUAUUUUAGAAGUUGAAGUCUUUGAUGUUUGGGGGAUUGAUUUCAUGGGACCCUUCCCACCUUUGAUAGGUAAUUUGUACAUUCUUGUUGCAGUUGACUAUGUCUCUAAAUGGGUGAAAGCUAUGGCGAGUCCGACUAAUGAUGCAAGAGUGGUGCUGAAUUUUAUGAAGAAGAACAUAUUUUGCAGAUUUGGUACGCCAAGAGCAAUAAUUAGUGAUGGAGGUAUGUACUUUAUCAACAAUUGGUUUAAGAAUCUUCUUGCUAAAUAUGGUGUUCGGCACAAGGUUUCCACUACAUACCAUCCUCAAACGAGUGGACAAGUAGUGGUAUCCAAUCGGGAGAUCAAGCAAAUACUUCAAAAGUAGUGAAUGGGCAGAGAAAAGAUUGGGCAGAUAAGCUGGAUGAUGCACUUUGGGCAUAUCAAACAGUGUACAAAACGCCCAUUGGGAUAUCUCCAUAUCUCUUAGUGUAUGAUAAGGUGUGUCAUCUUCCUGUAGAGUUGGAACACCAAGCUUAUUGGGCUGUGAAGAAGAUGAAUUUUGAGAUGUCUAUCGCGGGAGAAAGAAGGUUAUUGCAACUGAAUGAGCUUAAUGAAUUUAGACUCCACGCCUAUGAAAAUUCCAAGCUUUACAAGGAGAAGACCAAAAUAUGGCAUGACAAGCAAAUUCAAGUUAGGGAAUUUGAACUCGGACAACUUGUAUUGUUGUUUAAUUCAUGACUUAAGUUGUUUCUGGGUAAAUUACGAUCGAAAUGGUCUGGACCUUUUGAGGUGGUGCGCAUGACACCCUAUGGAGCUGUGGAGUUGUGGAAUAAAGAAAAUACAGAGAAGUUCCUUAUGAAUGGACAGUAUGUAGAGCAUUAUUGGGCGAAUCAUCCGGACAAGCACAAGGAAUCUAUCACUUUUGGUGAUAAGUAAUGACGAGCUGAGUCAUGCCACGACGUAAAAUAAGGCGCUAUAUGGGAGACAACCCACCCAUGUAUUGUAAUAGGUAGUUUAAUUUUUGGAUUGUAAAAUUAAAAAGAAAAUAAAAAUUCAAAAAAAUGGGUCGUGCCACGACCAAAACUAAGGCGCUGAGUGGGAGGCAACUCCCUUUUACUUAUAAUUUUUGUUGUUUUUGUUUGAGAUUGCAGGGAAUUUCAAAGUGAAAUGAGGAGAUUAUCACAUUUGAGAAAAGAAAUCAGGUUUGCAAAAUGAUAUGUGUAAGUGGAUAUUUUCUCAGGUAAGAAAGUAAUGAGAAUGACAUAAGGAAUCUAAUUUUGAAGCAUGGCGUGACACGAAACUGCUUAUUUUGACAAUUGUCAAAUUCAAGUAAGGAUACGCGAUUUCAAUCGCGACGCAGAGAAGUGUGAAUUGAGAAUUGUCAAAUUCCAGUAGCUUGUCGCAAUUUUCAUUGCAACGCGUAACUUGGAAAAUUGACAAUUUACAGUGACUACACACAAAAACUACCGCAUCACGGUGGGUAGUUAAAUGGUAUUUGGCAUUAUCCAGUAGGUCUACGCAAUCCUACCACGUCACGGAGUGGGCUAAAAUCGGACAUAAGCAUUUCAUUAAACCUAACCCAACCCGCCCCUCUAUAAAUAUACCUUUAAAACCCCAAAACCCUUUUAUUUCAACAUCAGCGCCGCCCUCUCACUCCCUCUCUGAUAAACUUCUACAAUUUUUCACUUUCUUUCAUCCUUAUCUCACUUUUUGAGGUAUGUGCUUUAAGAAUUAAUUUUAUUUAUUACCUUUCUUUUUGUGUAUUGUGAUGAUUGAUAGUGUAUUGAGGCAUAAUCUUGUUUUUUCCCUCUCAUAGUAGUUUUGAAUUUUAGCAUUGCCUAUGAUAAUUGUCUUGCCAUCGUUGUGCCCUCUUAAUUUAGUCAUCAUUAUUCAAAAUUGAUGUGAUGAAACUUGUAUGGGUAUAUUUUGUUGGUAUUUUGGAAAAGUUUUUUUCACAUAAUAGUUGUGAGGUCAGGGAAUGUAAGGGCAUUGUAGUUAGAUGGGUGAAGCAAGAAGGUUUAGGAAGUUGGGGGAAAUUUCAUUCCGACUGAAAUUGUGUUGAUUUAGUGGGGGUAAUUUCAAUUCCAUUAUGCAUGCACUCUUUCUGUCUGAUUUUAGUACAUUUAGUUAAAUUCGAGGAAAAUAAAUCUUUGCUGCAUGGGGUUUUAGUGACAUGAUCUCAUUCAUAACCUGUUAGUGAGUAAUUAGGUGGGAAUAGAUGGGACUGUGUUAUGUGCUGAGAAAAUGACAAAAGAUAAUGUGUCCCGCAGAGUAAUAUGAUGUCUAUAUAUGUGAUAAUAAGGCCUAGACAAAGGGAAGUCUGAGUACCUUGGAUGUUAACAUAGGUGUUUAGCUAACAACUAAGUGUGGGGUGCAAAGUGACCCGUAAUGCACACUCAGUUUAGCUAGUCUCUAGUUUAAACUACUCAAAUAUGUGUUGCAUUUUCUGAAUUACAGGCAUAAUGGAACCACAACCAAGUAGGGGAAAGGCAAAGGUAGGACCUUCUGCCCCUGCUAGGAAGAGAACCAGACCAUCUGAAGGGCAAUUAAUUAGGGUGCCUAGGGCCCCUCUACUUCAGCGGGGGUGGGUUCAAAAAUUUGGCUUCAAGGAUGUACGAAAGGAUGAAAAGUAGUGGUAUACUAAGCAUACUAAUGCUAAGUAUAUUCCGGAGGUCUAUAUUGAUCAUGAUCGCUUAAUGAUAGAGUGCCCAUCUAUGGUACAGAGAAUCGAGGCACUUAAUAUGAAUUUCAUUUUCCAUCAGCCGAUUGAGUGUAAUUUGCACCUUGUUAGAGAGUUUUAUGCCAAUUGGGACCCUAGUCAUCCUGAACAUUUGUUGAAGGUUCGAGGAAAGGUGAUUCGAUUCACAACUACUGAUGUUAACGAUUUGUUGGGUAUACCAGAAACAAACCCAAAAUUUUUUGAGGUAGUUUAUGUUUCUCCUCCGUGUGCGCAUAUUAGGAAUUUGUUGUAUGGUCAACGAUCUUCAACCGGUUGGACAAGGCAUUGUGUUACAGGUUUGCAUUCUUUCUUCCCCUACGCUUAAAUGAACAAAGAAACAAGAAUGUGGGGUCGUAUUGUGUAUGCAUGCUUGAUUCAAGGAAAGCAUAUGACUGAGGUAACUAGGGAUAGGGUAUGGUUGAUUUAUGCCCUAAUGUGUUCUGAUAUGGAGGUAAAUAUGGAGAGUAUAAUUUUUCUACUAUGAAGAAGGCGCGUACCCAGGUGGGGCGUAGCUUUGGAUUUGGAGGUUUAGUGACUAGAUUUUUAAGAAUGCAUAGGGUGGAUGAAGAGGAACUAGAUUAUAAGCCUGAGGUAAUCACUCGCUCUGUGGAUAUAACUACUGCAAGAAGCAUAUCUGGGGCAUCUGGCCUAAUUUUGACCAUGAUGGAGCGACAAACGAGGACUGAUGAGGUGCUGGGUAGGCUGUAUGGUCUCAUAAUGAUAAUGAUGAGGACAGGAGGCAGACCGGCUACACCAUAGGAGCUCUAUGCUGUAGAGGUCAACUAUCCACUUGGUCACCAUGCUAGGACCAUGUUGAGGAUUGGCCCAAAUUUUGUCGAGUCGGUUGAUGACGAUGUACCCACUGAUGAAUAACACAGGUAUAGGGAUUCCAACAUGGAGUCCGAUGAAGAGGAGCAAUCUGAUGAUGUAGGAUCUGAUGAUGAUGGCGACGAUGUGGACGUGGCUCCUAAAGACAUGGUUGCUAUAGUCCCAUUUGAGUGAUUAGAAAGUAUACUGCCACCCUACCAUAAGAUUAAUUGGAAGCACUGGGACAAUGCUUUAUUUUAAGUGUGGGGUGGUGGGUUUGUAUUCUGCUUUAUCUUUAUUUUUUGUAUAUGGUUGAACAAUUUAUUUUUACUUUUUUCUGUUUUGAUGUGUUUGCAAGUAUUAGAUAUUCGGAACAAUGGUCUAUAAUAGUUAGUAACUUUGACUUUGUGGAUUGCAAUUUGCCCUCUUUGGCAUUUAUCGCAUAUUGCUUCAGUUUAAAGUAUUAUUUUAUUGUUAUUUUCACCCUCAUUGGCAAGUUUAGUUUCAACUAGUCACAUUUUCCUUUGCCCUCUUUGGUAAUUAGGAAUAAACAGUCAUAGUUAGUUGUCAUCCCCUAUGAUAGAUGGAUAAUGACCGUCUUAAGGGAAGUGGUCGUACGAAGUAAAGAAAUUCAGGAGAACCUAAUCACUAUCUUAGAGGAGUGUGUAAAAUGGGCCAUCUUUGCAGUAACUGAAACUAAUUCUAGUAGCAAUAAGCAAAAGAGUGUUUUUAUUUUAAGUACUGAUGAUUUAAUCUAGAUAAAUGAAAUUUGAAGUGUUGGCUUAAUUUUGAAUUCAAUAAAGAACAUGAUUGGGAACCUUUGACUGAUGCCGUACAUGCACUGUGAGUGUGAGGAUUUGUAUAUAUUCUACAUGAAUAGAAAUGACUAGAACUUGCCCGGUGUGUCUACAAAGCAAAAUAAAGGGUCUUGGGUGUAGGAGGUGAUGUAGGCAUUUCUUUGACAGCCUUGUUUCUAACUUAAAUAGACCUUCCUUGGUGCAUAGUCUUAGUCAGCCUCGUUGAGCCUUUAGCAUUUUUCUUUGGUAGCUUGUUAUGAAACCUUAUCCUUUCUUUGCUAAACAGUAAUUUGGUCCAAAUAAGCUCCUGAGCGUUUUUAAUAUAAGACUAAGAGGAGAUUAUGAGCAAAAAUAAGGCAGAGAGGAGGUAAUCAGCCGAUGCCCCUAAAACAAUUGUUAUUGAUGAUUGAUGAUGCUAGGUUAAUUAGGAGUUAGUAAAGAGAAGUGUUACAAUGAACCUAUUUUGGCCCUGGUCCAAUUGGAUAAUGUGCACCUUAAUGAAGGCUUUUUGCUUGAGUUAAGGAUGGCUAUAAUAGGGGUGCGUAACAUAUAUAUAUAAAAAAAGAGAAAAAAAGAAGUAUGUGGAAGGAAUGACUAAUACUCCUCACCUAGUUUGAGAAUAUAUAUAUAUAUAAAGUAAAUGAAAGGAAUGACUAAUACUCCUCACCUAGUUUGAGAAAAUAAGAUAAUUGGACAAGGUGCUGAUAAAUGAAAGAAUAGGGAGAAAUAGAAUGAUAAAUUGGGGGUUAGAAAACAGAGUUAAUUGAUAAUUUUUGUACUAAAAAGCUUAGGAGGAAUAAUCACUAUUUCUGUAAAUAGUACCUACCUGUCUUUAAGCCUUAUUUACAACCCGAAAAAGACCUAGUUGAUCUUCACCCAAACAUCCGACUAUUAGUGGAGUAGGACUCUAAGGGAAAGCUUAUGGUUCGUUCACUAGCAUGUAAGAAUUCUUUGUUUAGAGCGAGUGAUUCAAUUUGAUACUCCCUAUUGUUACAUAGAUAUCAUUGUGAGUUAAUAUUGGGGAAAUUUCCUUGAGUUAGGAUGCAGGCGGAUGAAAGCCAGAUUACUAAUUGUGUUUAUUUAAUUGAGUUUGCCAACAUGUUAGGAAUUGAUUAUUGAAGAAAGAAGAAUUUGUACUAAAUUGUCUCAUGAGCUCGGAACUGUUUUGACAAGAUAAUGUAAGAAUACGUUAUUGAAAAGUGUAAGUGCCCAUUGCAACAUAACUUUGAGAUUGUGAUGUAAAGAGGAUGUAAUUAUGUUUUUUGAAUUUAUGUGUUCGAGAAAGAACAAGGUUUUAAGUAAGGGGUGGUGAUCUUGGGCAUAUUUAUAUGUUCAAAGCACCAAUAUGCACCCAGAUUUAGACUUGGUUCAAGAACUUUUGGAUGAAUUCCUAAGUAUAAUUCAUCUUUUAUUCCGUUUCAUGCCUAAUGGAUAUGAUUAGUACUUUCAGGAUCAAAAUCAUGAAGAAUUGUGCAUAAUUGGAUACAACGAGGAUAUGAAAGUAGUGAAGGAAUGCAAGGUAGUAAAAUUAAGCUGAAAAAUGAAAACUGAAAAGUAGAAAUCCUCAUUUGAAGACACUCCGCAUCGCGGGGAUCAACAAAAUAGCAAUGGUCAGAUUCCAGUGAAGGUUCGUGAAACUACUGCAUCGCGGAGUAGUUUCAUUUACCAGAUUUGGCGACCUGAAGGUUUAGUGCAUCACGGAGGAUGACUAUUUUGCAAUUGUCCCAAUCUAGUGGCUCACUAAGAUAGUGGCGCGUCGCGGUGAGGAUGCAUUUUACAAUUGUCAGAGGAUAUUUGAGCUCCGCAAUUUCUUAGAUUUUAAUGAAAAAUAGCAAUCAAAGUGAUGGCGCGAUGUGCCAUGUGGACAAAUCGAGAAUAUUUUAAGUGUUUUGUGCCCGCUAUAAAAGGAAAAAUCUAAGAUAAUGUGGGGGGAAUUUUUUUGUCAAGGAGAGCAGCGGCGGAAAAGCAAAAAUUUCUCUCUUUUAGGGUUCUAAAACAUUCUUUUAAAUUUCUUUACUUCAACUUUUGUUUUGGGUAUGAUUUAUUACUUAUUUUGGAUGAUGAAUUCAAACAUGAGUAGCUAAACACCCUAUUUCUUGGGUUGAGGCUAAGAACAUGAUUACUCUUUAAUAUUCUUAUUCAUAGCUUCUUUUUGGAGUAUAAUCUGGGUUGUUCUUAAUUUCUUGAGCUUACUAUUUUAAUGAUUGGCCACCAUUAUAAUAAAUUUAUAUUUUUAUGUGAAUUUGGGAGGAGAAUCAUAGGAUAGAACGAAGAAAUUAGGGAGCAAGGUUCUUAUUCUUUUAUAAAAUAAGGGAUUUGAAUUAGCAUCUAGGAUAGGGAUAUACCUAGAAACCUUGCUUGGUUCACUUGAAAGAAGACAACUUCAUGAAUCUAGAAGAUUUGUUGUAACUCUGCGAGAGUUGUAGUUACAACAUUUAAUAGAUAGAAGAUGUGAGGUCGGGAGACCAAGAUCGUGGCAUAACCCUUGCGAACCAGCAACCCGAUAACCAAUUAGACUAUGAAAAGAAUAGAGAAUUGUAUAACUGUUCACAAUACCUCAACCCUGGAAUCGUUCUCAUCAUUGAUUACAACUGUUGCUUGCUUUGCUCUAGUUAUAAUUAAUUAUUUCUUGUUUAGUAAUUUAAAUUUUAUUUACAGAAUCAAAUUAAUCUUGAUACCAUCAAACAGUUAAUACUCAAUUUUCUUGAACUAAAGAUUGAAUAAAUUUCUAGUUUAUUGAUCCUCAAGGGAACGAUAUCUGACUGACUAAGUCAUUAUAUUACUUGCACGAUCACGUACACUUGCAUGUGCAUAGAGACGUAAUAGAUGUCCUCUCAACUCCUUCUCUAGUUAGGUCUUUUAUAAGUUGAUCCAACAUAUUAUUAUUUUACUUCACAUAGUCAACAGUGAUAAUUUCACUAGAGAGAAAUUCUCUAAAGGUAUUAUGUUUCCAUCUUAUGUGACGAGAUUUACCAUUAUACAUCAUGCUCCCUGCCUUAUCUAUUACCGUUUGACUAUCACAAUGUAUGAAUACUGGUGUCAAUGGUUUGUGAUAGUAAGGAAUAUCUUUCAAGAAAUUUUGAAGCCAUUAUGCUUCUUCACCGGCUUUAUCUAUUGCGAUAAAUUCUGAUUCCAUCGUAGAGCAGGCAAUACAUGUCUGUUUGGAUGAUUUUCAAUAGACUUCUCCUCCACCUAUUGUAAAUACGUAUCCACUCAUGGAUUUUAUUUCAUUUUAUUCGGUGAUCCAAUUUGCAUCACUAUAUCUUUCAAGUACCGCGGGAUAUUUAUUAUAACGGAAAAGGUACGAAUAUACCCCUAAACUUUAAUAAAUGGUACAGAUAUACCCUCCGUUAUAUUUUAGGUACAAAUAUAUCCUUACCGUUAAUGAAAAGGUACAUAUAUACUCCUGAACUUUGAUGAAUGGUAUAAAUAUACCCUUGUCGUUAAUGAAAAGGUACACAUAUACCUUUCUCACUAACGGCAAGACAUGUGUCACAAUCUUGUUCAUUUUCCCUUUUUAAAUUUAAUUUAUCCCCAUCCUAUCUGAAAAAAUUCUAAUUUAACCCCCAAAUCAAUCCAAACAAUAACCCAAACCUGAGCCGGUCUAAUAAAACCUUCAAUACGCAUCUUUAUUCAACAUGUUUAUUCCUUUUUUUUCUAUUAGACUGGAUCGGAUAGGAGUUAUUAUUUGAAUCGGGUGAUGAGUUAAAUUAGAAUUAAUUUGGAAUGGAGUUGGGAUAAAUUAAAUUUAAAAAGGUCAAAUGAAUAGGAUUGUGAUAUGUGUCCUUCCAUCAGUGAGAAGGGUAUAUAUGUACAUUUUCAUUAAUGCCAAGUGUAUAUUUGCACCUAAAUUAUGACGGAGGGAAUAUCUGUACCAUUUAUCAAAGUUUAGGGGUAUAUUUAUACCUAAAGUAUGAUGAAGGGUAUAUCUGUAUUAUUUAUCAAAAUUUUAGGAGUAUAAAUGUACCUUUUUAUUAACGACAAAGGUAUAUUUGUACCUAAAGUACGACAAAGGGUAUAUCCGUACCAUUUAUCAAAGUACAGGGGUAUAUUCAUACCAUUUCGUUAUUAGAAUGCAAAGCAUAGUCUUGAGUGUAUUUAAGAUACCCUCAAACUCUUUUCAUUGCCAUCAAUGAGUUUUGUUGGGAUUACUCAUGUACCGACUUAAUUUACUAAUUGCACAUGCUAUGUUCGGUUGUGUACAAUUCAUUAUAUACAUUAAACAUUCCAAAACUCUUGUGUACUCUAAUUAUGAGUCACUUUCGCCUUCAUUCUUUUGAAGUGCAAAGCUCACAUCCAAUGGAGUCUUGGCAAUUCCAAAUUCCAAAUUCCAAAUACUUGAAUUUAUCAAGUACCUUUUUGAUGUAAUGAGACUGUGACAAUGUCAACCCUUGUGGAGUUCUAUGGAUUCUUAUUUCUAAGAUCGUAUCCGCAACUCCAAGGUCUUUCAUAUCAAACUUGCUCUCGAGCAUUCAUUUUAUAGCAUUUAUGAUAGAAAUAUCUCGACUGAGGAUUAACACAUCAUGCACAUAUAAAAAAAUAAUGACUUGGUGAUUUAGAGUGUCUUUAAUGUAUACACAUUUAUCACAUUCAUUUAUCUUGAAUCCGUUUGCCAACAUGGUUUGGUCAAAUUUUGCAUGCCAUUGUUUAGGUGCUUGUUUUAGUUCAUAAUGACUUAACAAGUUUACACACCUUAUUUUCCUUUCCUGGAACCACAAAACACUCGGGUUGUUCCAUAUAGAUUUCUUCCUCCAAUUAUCCAUUCAGGAAUGUUGUUUCCACAUUCAUUUGAUGGAUUUCAAGACCAUAUACCGCCGCCAAGACAAUUAACAUCCGAAUUGACUCUAUCCUUGUUACUAAAGAGUAUGUAUCAAAGUAAUCAUGGCCUUCUUUUUGUUUGAAGUCUUUUACUACAAGUCUUACCUUGUAUUUUUCAAUAGUACCAUCCAUUUUUUUUGAAGAUUUAUUUUGAACCUAAAGGUUUAUUUUCUGUAGGAAGAUCAACCAACUCCCACGUAUGGUUGCUUAACAUUGAAUCAAUCUCACUAUUGACUGCUUCUUUCCAAAAGAAUGAGUCUGACGACAACAUCGCUUUUUUAAAUGUUUGAGGCUCAUUUUCGAAGAGAAAUAUUACAAAAUUCGAUCCAAACGAAGUUAACGUUCUUUGACAUGUACUACGUCUUGGAUUAUCAUCAUUAUGUAUAUCUUCAGUUGGUUCAUCUCGAGGUCAUUUAGACCCCCACUAGAUUGUUCAUGUCUAGUUUUAUAUAGAUAUAUGUGUGCAAAGAAUUCAGCAUUAUCUGAUUCAAUUAUCGUAUUUUUAUUGAUAUCUAAAUGUUUGGAUUUAUGAACCAAAAUCCGACAUGCUUUGCUACUUUUAGCAUAUCCUAUGAACGUGCAAUCCACCGUCUUAGGUCCUAUCUUUACUCUUUUAGACAUAGGAACUUGGACCUUCGCUACACACCCCACACUUUGAAAUAUUUCAAGUUGGGUUUUCUUCCUUUAUAUUUUUCAUAUGGAAUUGAUUGUGUCUUACUAUGGGGCACUCUAAUAUUUGGUUAGCUGUAAGGAUAGCCUUUCCCCAUAAGUUUUGCGGUAAACCUGAACUUAGUAGCAGGGUAUUCAUCAUUUCCUUUAAGGUUUGAUUUUGGUUCAGUUUUUCUUUUUUGUAAUUCCAUUAGAUUGAGGUGAAUACGGGGUUGUAGUUUGAUGGAAAAUUUCAUUCUCUACACCUAUUUCCGCAAAGGGAGAUCCAUAUUCUCCACCCCUAUCACUUCUUAUCGUUUUGACCUUUUUCUCUAACUGUUUUUCAACUUCUGUUUUAUAUUGCCUAAAUGUAUCUAUUGUUUCAUCCUUACUGUUUAGCAAAUAAACAUAACAAUAUCUAGUACAAUCAUCAAUAAAAGUUAUAAAAUACUUUUUUUCACUACGAGAUGAUGUUGACUUCAUAUCACAAAUGUAAGUGUGUAUUAAGUAUAAGAGAUUUGAAUUCCUUUCAAUACACUUAUACGGAUGCUUAGCAUACUUUGAUUCCACAUACGUUUGAUAUUUUGACUUAUUGCACUCAAAGUUUGGCAAAACUUCUAAGUUGAUUAGUAUUUGUAAAGUUUUGUAACUGACAUGUCCUAAUCGUUCAUGCCAUAAAUUAUUAGACUCAAGCAAGUAAGAAGAAAUUAAACUUUUAUUAAUUUCAAUAUUCAUUACAUUUAUUUUGAAUAGGCCCUCAGUGAGGUAGCAUUUUCCUACGUACACUUCUCCUUUACCAAGUACAAUUUUUUUAGAAAUAAAUACACAUUUAAAUCUAUUUUUGUCAAGAAGUGAUACAGAAAUUAAGUUCUUCCAUAAUUCCGGUACAUACAGGACAUUAUUCAAAGUCAACACUUUGCCUGAUAUCAUUUUCAGGCAGACUUUUUCUGUUCCUUCAGCUUUUGCAGUUGUAGAGUUUUCCAUAUGUAUCUUCUUUUUGCCUUGAGCCGGAGCAAAAACAACAAACAACUCAUUAUUUGCACAAACAUGGCUGGUGGCACCGGAAUCCAUCCACCAUUCUCGAGGAUUUUCCACAAAAUUGUAUUUAGACAGCAUGGCACACAGAUAAUCUAUUUCUUUCUUGGAUUCAGCCAUAUUUCCUUGGUCCUUCCUUUUGCCUUUCUUUGGGGAACGAUAAUCCAUUGACUUGUGGUCAAUCUUGCCACAGUUAAAGCAUUUUCCUUGAAUUUCUUCUUAAGUUGAUUGCUUUCAUGUCCAGAUUUCUUUCACUUUUUGGAGUUGUUGUGGUCGGCUUCUACAAUAUUUUCUCUACUUAUUGCAGAAUUUCCUUUCGAUCUUCUUUCCGAGGCUUUGUUGUCUUUAUCAAUGCGCAGUCUUACUAUAAGAUCUUCGACUGUCAUCUCUUUUCACUUAUGUUUCAAGUAGUUCUUGAAGUCCUUCCACAUAGGUGGUAACUUCUCUAUUAUUGUCACGACUUGAAAUGCCUCAUUUACAAUCAUACCUACAGUUAAGUUCAUGUGAACAUUUAGAACAUUUUUAAUAUGUUCAACAACGAUACUCAUCAAACUCAUACCUUCUCCGAGGAGAUUGUGGAUGAUAACUUGCAGUUUCUGGACCUGAGAUACAACAGACUUGCUGUCAAUCAUUUUAAACUCAAGGAAUCUUGCAAUGAAGAAAUUUUUGGUUCCAGCAUCCUCAGUCUUGUAUUUUUUUCUAUCGCCCCCACAACUCUUUUGUCGUCUUCAUUCCACUAUACGCAUUGUAUAGUUCAUCUUGGAGGCCAUUUAGAAUAUAAUUCCUGCAUAGGAAAUCAGGGUGUUUCUACGCCUUCAUAACGAUAAAUUUCUCCUGUUCCGAAGUUUCCUCAGGCACCUCUGGAGAUUCUUCAGAUGUGAAUCUUUGAAGACAUAAAGUUGUAAGUUAGAAGCACAUCUUCUGUUGCCACCUCUUAAAAUCAAUACCCGCGAACUUUUUGGGUUUCUCCGCUGGUGCCAUUGCUUAUGGAGCACUCGUACGACUCAUUGUGGCAACAUUAGUUGCUGCCACAGUCAUUGCAAUAUCAUUCACUUGACUGUCAGUAGUCAUCUUCCUGUCACAACAAGACAGUAAAUUUUAGUAUGUCAAAAUACUACUUAUAAAGUUGCAGCAACUUUAAACACCCUUUGUUUCUAGUUUAACGAUGAAGUUUUUAUGACUUCCAAUCGUCAACCAAAUGACCUCUAACUUGUGAUGAAUAUUUUAUUUAUUCAAAUCACUUGUUACAUUCAAACGGAGUAGAAAUAUUAAAGCUUUAAUCUCCAGAAAGUAAACAAUACAGAUUAUGACAAAAAAAAAUUUAAUGAAAAGAAAACUUCACCAAACAAGCAAAAAAAUAUAUAUUUUUUUAAUUAUUUUCUUAAGAUUAUUGUUUUCAGGUACACAAAAAUCUGUAUUUUGACAAAACAACUUCAACACAAGUUCAAGAAUAAAUCAAGAACACUUAUGAAGUUUCCAACACCUUCAACACAAGAUCCAAAAAUAACCUUUUAAAGAAGUGUGUUUUCAAUAUUUUAAAGAAAUUUAGAUAAAGCAGAAAAAAACCAAGCCCUACGAAUUCACGGAGUGUCCUUAGAGAAAUAAUUCCCCUUAGGUACCCGAGGUUGCGGAAUUUUUCUCCCACGAUAAAAUGUCUUAACAAUUCGACUGUAGUGGUACCUCAAACGAUCGGAUUCUCUUCAAAAUCACUCAAUAGUUAGAUGAUCAUACGGAGUAUUUUAGAAGACAAGAAAUGUUUUCAAGUGCAAAAAAUUCAUUCUAAACCUGUGGAAAAAUACAGAUUUAUAUAGCCAUUAAAUGCCCCUUCCGAAAAGUGGAAAUGGUUCAUCGAAAAGUUGUAUCCUUUCUGUACAGUCAUGUCUAUCCAUUCGAUAGAGUGUGUCUUUUCCGAACAGCCACAACCAUCCAAACGGUCAUACAUUUUUUCGAAAUAGUGUGUCUUUUACUCGAAGAGAUGUGUCUCUUCCAAGCAACUUUUCAUUUUUCAUUCACACCAAUUGAACCCAAGAAUUUUUUUCACUGUAUCCUUGAUGUGACUUUGUGAGAUAAUAGUGGAUAUGUGCUAUUGUUGUUUAUUAUUUUGCCAUGUUUCCUCUAGCCUCCUCUGGGUUUACGGCAUACUACAAAAGAUCUGUGAAAAUGGCUAAAUGAACAACUUUAAUUGUAAAUUAUUUUCAGAUGGGUGUACCAAACAAGACACCUUAAUCAGUUUCUUGAGAUGAAUCCAAUUGGGGAGGUAUGUUAUUCUACUGAACAUAUAGAUUCUUGGGCAAGAUUUUGCUAAUCUUGGUGUGUGUUUGGUCCUAUGCGUUCAAGUUCUUGAAACACUUUAUGGAUUUGUUUAACUUUGUCUUAACUGCAAUAAUUUUUUAAGCUUAACAAAUUCAUUGCUUUGCCACUGUUAUUAUGUCAUAAGCUCGAUAUGGUCUAUAAGUUGCUAGCCGUAGUACUAAUGUCAAAGUAAUUAGAGAAAAUGAUUUAAUAUUACUUAUAGUACUUUUGUUUAGUUUCUAAUAUGUAAAUUAUUCUUCAAAAAUCUUAAAACACUUUAUGUAGUUUCUACUUAAAUUAUGCAAGCUCGUGUGGAUUCUAUGCACCAAAAAGAUAAGCUUUGGUGCGUUGAGUGCAUAUGUGCUGCAUAAAACAAGGUACUAUUGGGGAAGUAGGAUACAAACGAGCUGUGUGGAUGGUCUUACAAAAAGUACCUAAAGAGUAUUGACUAGACAGAGCACAACUCAUGAGGCAAAGGGAAUUUUCUAUUAAGAAAUUGUAUACGUUGAUGGGAAGAGAUUAUCCCAAAGCAGGGGUGGCUCUACUUCAUUAAGAAAAGGAAAAAAGCGACCGCCUUAGGCCCCCAAAUUUGAGGGGCCUCAUUUUUUAACACUAAUAAAUUAUAUACUUUUUUGAGAAAAAUAUUAAAUAUCAUUUGGAGGAAAAAUAAACUUUUUUAUAUAAAAGGAAUGAAUUAUUAGGAAAGUUUGAUAUAUCUAAAGUACUAGGUUAAGAAAGACUAAUGCAUUGAUUAUAUGAUUAAGUAUCAUAUAACUUUAAAAAUAUAAUUUAUUUAAAAAAUAUUUUUUUCUAAAAAACUUUAAGGCCUCCAUUUAUUUCGAACUUAAGCCACUAAUAAGUUUGAGGCGCCCCUGUCCCAAAGUAACAUGGCGAAGGGUAGCGUGCAACAAUCAAGGAUGUCCCAAGUGGACAUUUAUCCUACAACUUGUGCUAAUGGAGAGUCUUCUCACUAGAGAUAGACAAUAAGGUGCCAUUACAUUUGCUACAUGUCCUUUUUGUGAUCAACAUGAAGAAAGCCGAGGAUAUUUUUUCUUUGAAUGUGUCUACUCACAAGGAAUUUGGGAACAAAAUGCUAUAAUGGCAAGGACUUCAACGGGUCGCUCAGACUUGGCAAGAGGAUAAAAGUGGAUUGUGAUAUACUAAUGGUAGAUUGUACAAGCUGCAAGCUAUCAUCUAUUCUUAGCAGGGAGCCAGGGACAAUCUAUCAUGUUUGGUUAGAAAGAAAUGCAAGUGUUUCGACAAUUUCAAAGGGAGGAACAAGCCAUGGUGAGGCAUAUUAUCCAAGAGGUGGUCAUAUGUGGGUCUAAGAUGAGAAAGAAAGCUAUGAAACUAGAGACCAUAAAUUUCUAUCCUUAUUAACGUAAUUGUAUAGAUAGGAAGUGGUUGAUGGCCUAAGACAAAUUGUAGGCUAGAUGCUCAAUCUGUAGAUUAUUUUGUUUUAUAUAAGCUUACUUGGUAAGUAAUAAUACACGUUAGUUGUAAAAAAAUAAUAAUUUAAACAUUGUAUUCGAUCAAAAUAUAAGAAGUUUGACUCUUAAAAUUGAAAUUGUGCGUAUAAAUUGGGACGGAAGAGUAUCAUAUACUAACGGAAUACUAAUGAUACUAUGCUCAAUGCAUAACAUUUAAACUUCAUAAUAAUAGUUGCAUUAUGCUCUGUUUUCUCACAUUUUAGAUGAUUUACGAAUUGUUUGAUGUUUACUUUUUAUUACUAUUAAGUAUUAACAUGUAUAUUUAAUAGUGUAGUAAUGUCUGUUAUACUUAAUAAUAUCACGUAUAAAUAAUUUAUUUUUUCAUAUAUAUUAAUAUUACUUAACGUGAUACUCACAUGCAAAAUACGUACCCUGAAUUAGUUCAAAUAAUAACAUACUAUAAACAUCAGCAUUUGCAUAGUCUAUGCAUUGAUUUUUGUUAUGUAUUUAUCCUCCUAAUUUUUCCAGUUUAGCUUUUUUAUUACUCUUUUAUCAUAUUUCUUUUUGUUAGUCCAUCUCUCUCAAAUCUCAGUAAUCCUGUACAAUUAUUUCCUCAAAUAUAGUUUUUGUUCUUCUACGGGAGGCUUUCAGAAAAAAUCAUACCUUAGCACAAAAUUCAGCGCCUAUACCCAUAAUUUGCAAUAUUACAAUCCAGAGUUGUAUUAAAUCCAUAAUCGUUAUAUUCCAUUAUACUCAAUCGUUUGUAUUUAUAUAAAACUUAAAUAUAUUAACUACAUUUUAUAUUUUAUACUUUUUUGUAUUUUUCAAAAAAUAUGAUUACAUUGAAUACAUGUCAUGGAUAAUGACGGAAACAUCAUAACUACGUAUUGUAAAUGUAUUCACCGUCAUUUUUGUUUUCUUUUUUUUUUUCUUUUUUCUAUUUUUUUUAUGAUUCGUUUUUUUCUCUUCGAUCUCUAACUUUUAUUUCUCUUUCUUUCUCUUUUUUCCUUUUCCAUUUUUUUCUUUUCAUUUUUUGUAUUUUUUUCCUUUUUCGUGUUCCCCUUUCUUCUUCUUCUUCUAAUUCUUUUUUCCUUUUUUUACCUUUUUAUUUCUUUCUUUUUUUUUUGUUGUUUGCUUUUUUCUCUCUCUUCUAUCUCUAGCUUCUAUUUCUCUUUCUUAUUUUUUGAUUUUUUUCUUUUUCUUUUUUUUUUUGUAUUUUUUCUUUCUCAUGUUUUUUGUUCUAUUUUAUAUUUUUUGUGUUUAAAAAAAUAUGGCUACUCGAGCAUAAGUUAUGGGUGAUAACGAAAUAACACAAUUGCUUAUUGCAUUUGUAUUCACAUCGUCAUUUAUAUUUUUAUAUUCAUUUAUAUAACUGUAUUUAUAUUUAUAUUUUAAUGUUUAUACUUGUAUUUGUAUUUUAUUGUUCUCAUUUGUCACACCCCUUAUCAAACCAAAAAGAUAAUAUUUUGAGUUUAAAAGAAUUCUUAUUAUUAAAGUGACAAAAUGAAGAUUUGUUUCGAAAAGGAUUCAUUUCACAAUUAUAUUCAGAGUCGCCACUUGACAUACAUCGUGUGUGUCAAGUCACCUUUGGAAAAUUCUUUUUCAAAAUGAUUUGACUCUUUAAAACUGGUUUGCAAACAGAAAUUCCAGUUAAGAAGUUCUGUUGACCGAGGGGAAGGUGUUAGGCACCCCUCGAUCCUGUAGUUUGACCACGGUCGCUUGAUGGAGUAUAUCGGCUAAUUUGACAUUAUGAAUGUAUAAACCACACAAAAACACUCAAAACAAUCAAUCAAACACACAAACAAAACAAAUCCAAAAAUAGUGUCCAAUCUAAUUAUUACAACUCAAAAUAAAAAGAUACUGAAAAGUAAACCUACACUAAUCCUAAACGUCGCUCCACCCGAUGCCUCGGGCCUUGAUCACGAACUGCCUUCAAAAACAUAAUACGUCGGGGCAUUCCCCGUUAAAUAAAUAUAAUUUUCUUCGGGGCAUUCCCCGGCCAAAUAAAUACAAUUUCCUUCGGGGUAUUCCCUGGCCAAAUGAGUACAAUUGAUCCAAAUUCAUAAAAUAAAAUCAUUCAAAAAACAUUUUCAACAUUGAACAAUCCACAAGUUCUAAAUUUUCCUACCCGAACCUACUAUUUGCCUACCCGACUCGACCUAUCAUGAUUCUAUCACAUUCAAUAUCAUCAAUGAAUCAAAAUUUAUUCAAAUUUACUCUUAUCGAGACCAAUCCCUUCCUACAUUCAUUAUCAAAAUAAUUAAUCAAUUCUUCGACUACCAAUCCAAGUUUUCAUAUUCAAAUCCGACAUCAACCCACACAAGAAAAAGAUUCAAACAUGUCAAACAACAAAUCAUUCACAUUCACGUAAAAAUUAAAGGGAGAGAAGAUAGAAUUGGACCUCAAUGCCGCUUUCAAAAUUGAUGUAUAAUCUGUAUCCAAAAUAGAAUUUGUGUGUGAGUGUGUUGUGAAUAUUGUGGUGAAAAUAGAGAUUUGUGUGUUUUCUGUGUCCUGUGUAGAAGAAAAAUGAGGUUCUCUGUAGUAUGAAGGUGGUUCUGUGUAGUUGUGUGCAUAUGGUUUUUAUGAGUGAGAGUGCAAUUAUCUGGUGAGGUGCAUGUUGUGCCCUUCUCUGUAUAUCUAUGUAAUCCGUUACAAUGGAAAGGGGCAAAAUGUGAUAAAGGGGGUAGCAUAUGGUGGAGGUAUGGGGUAGGGGUAAGUGAGGUAGGGGUAGGUGUUAAAAUUUGAUAGGGAUGGGUUGUUAGUUUGUUUAAUUGGGAUUAUAUGGGAAUUUAGGGAUAAAAUUUGUUUAGAGUUGGUUAUUAUUUGUUUCCUUGUAGGGNNNNNNNNNNNNNNNNNNAGUGUAGAGUGGGUGAAGGUACGUGGUAAGGUGAGCUAAAAAGAAAUAAAAUUGAACUUCGGGAGGGACAAAAUUAGGUGUCUACAUCAUGCCCCUUUUUAGGUAUAAACACAAAGUAUUUUCAGACAAAAAAGUAGACAACGAGACCAAAUUUUGACCCGACCAUUAUUCGAAGAAAGAAAUAGAAAGAAAUAGGACAACUGAGUUGGAGGUUCGAGUGAGGUCCUAUCAAGGUUCCGGACCGCGACUCUGUCAUUACAUCAAAAAUGAAAAUUACAAGUUAAAAACAUAAAUAAAAUUACAAAAAUCCUAUCUAUGAGGCUUUUUUUAGACUCUUGAUUUGAGUUUCAUCAACCCAUUCUUUAGGCGGGCUCCUGACUUGCAAUUUCUUCAACUUGUUGCUUGGCUUUCAAUUUCUUCACCCUGUUCUCCAAGCGGGCUCCUGACUUACUAUUUUUUAAUCUGUUGACUUUUAAUUUCUUCAACUUGUUGUUUGACUUUCAAUUUCAUCACUCUGUUUUCCAGGAGAGCUUCUUACUUGCAAUUUCCUCACUCUUUUCUCCGGGCGAGCUUCCGACUUUCUAUUUCAUCACCCUAUUCUUCGGGUGGGCUCCCGACUUGCAAUUAUUUUACUCUGUUCUCUGGGUGAGCUCCUAAUUUUCAAUUUCAUCACCCUAUUCUUUGGGUAGGCUUCCGAGUUGUAAUUUCAUCACCCUAUUCUUCAGGUAAGAUCCUGAAAUCAAAAUCAAAAGUAUAACAAAAGUUAUCCCAAACAAAUGUUAUUAUAAAGAGAGAUUCCAUUUUCCAGAAAGUAAAGUUCCAAAAAAAGUAAUUGAAUAUUUGGCCCAGUUAACAUCAGAGAACUUUUGUGACAGUCACAUCAUAACUACUUGAAAAACCCGAACAAAGAAAUGCAUCUUCUAUGAGUUAAUUGGAAUGAUUCAACUAGAAAGUGCAUUUUCUAGGAGUCAAAGGGAAUGACUUGACUAGAAAAUACAUUUUUUAGGAAUCAAGGAAAAUGACUAGACUAAAGGGUACAUCUUAUAUGAAUCAAGGGAAUGACUCGACUAAAAGGUACAUCUUAUUGGAAUUAAGGGAAAUGACUCGACUAAAGGGUACAUCUCAUAGGAAUCAAGGGGAAUGACUGGACUAAAAGGUAUGUCUUAUAGGAAUCAAGGGAAAUGACUUGACUAAAGGGUACGUCUUAUGGGAAUCAAGGGGAAUGACUCUACUAAAAGGUACGUCUUAUAGGAAUCAUGGAGAAUGACUCUAAUGAAAGAUACGUCUUAUAGAAAUCAAGGGAACUGACUUGAUUAAAAGGUACGUCUUAUAAGAAUCAAGGGGAAUGACUCGACUAAAAGGUACAUCUUAUAGGAAUCAAGGGAAUGACUCGACUAAAAGAUACAUCUUAUAGGAAUCAAGGGGAAUGACUCGACUAAAUUGUACGUCUUAUAGGAAUCAAGGGAAAUAACUCGACUAAAAGGUACGUCUCAUAGGAAUCAAGGGAAAUGACUCGACUAAAAGGUACAUCUUAUAGGAAUAAAGGGGAAUAACUCGACUAAAAAGUACAUCUUAUAGGAAUCAAGGGAAAUAAUCUGACUAAAAGAUAUGCCUUAUAGGAAUCAAGGAUAAUGACUCGACUAAAGGGUACGUCUUAUAGGAAUCAAGGGGAAUGACUCAACUAAAGGGUAUGUCUUAUAGGAAUCAAGGGGAAUGACUCGACUAAAGGGUAUGUCUUAUAGGAAUCAAGGGGAAUGACUCGACUAAAGGGUUGUCUUAUAGGAAUCAAGGGGAAUGACUCGACUAAAGGGUAUGUCUUAUAGGAAUCAAACGGAAUGACUCGACUAAAAGGUACGUCUUAUAGGAAUCAAGGGGAAUAACUCGACUAAAAGGUACGUCUUAUAGGAAUCAAGAGGAAUGACUCAACUAAAAGUACAUCUUAUAGGAAUCAAGGGAAAUAAUUCGACUAAAAGAUAUUUCUUAUAGGAAUCAAGGGGAAUGACUCAACUAAAAGAUAUGUCUUCUAGGAGUGAAGGUUCAGUUUAAGAAGUGUAUCACCUAGCAAUUAAAAACUGAAAUGCCUAGACAAAGAAGUGUAUCUCCGAGGGAUAUAGGAUGAUGAAUUUUACCAUGAUUUGAUUAUCAAAUCUUUACAGCAACGUUGCUUCCUGCAUUAUACAUAUGAGGCAUUGCAACCCUUAAUAUUUAUGCUCUGAAGUUCUUGAUUUGAAAGUAACGUAUUUUCUAUUUCAUCAAAGAAAACUUGUGAGUUUAAAAACAUAGAGGAUGGUUUAUGGCUUUAGAUUUCACAACAAAUGCUCUUGCCCUUAUCACAUUUAACCUUGAUUCCAACCAUUAGUAUAUAUCAUUGAUAUAAUACCCCGUACUUUUUCCUAGCUAAUUUCAUCUCAAGAAUGUCUAGUAUUAGCUUCUAAAUUAAAUGAUGGUUAUUCCAUGAAGAAAUUUUCAAGAUUUUUCCUUUUUGUCAUGUGGAAAAUUCAAUAAACUUUCCAUCGAUAUGAGAUUCAUCCAAAUUCGAUAAUUGAGUGAGAAAUUACGACUAUUUCAAGCACCCAUCGUAAAAAAGCGCCAUAUUAGUUAGUGGCGCACUACGCCACAAAAGGAAAUGGAAUUUAGAAAAUUCCAGUAGGGGUCCGCGAUUAUGGAGCGUCACGCCAGGGCCCAAAUUUAGAAUUGUCCGUUUCCCAGUGUCUCAGCGCGAUUUCCCCUGCGUCACGCCAAAGUUCCAGGUCACAAAGGAAAUGACAACGUGAUGGCCCUGCAUCGCGCUAUCCCUCAAUUUCUCAAUUUUCAAAUUCCAGUGACACGGUAUGAUAGGGGUCCAAUUUGGGAAAUUUUUACUGAAAUUAAAUAACGCAUCGAGGGUUAAAAGGGUCAAUUUUCCACCCCUAUUUAAGCCCUUUAACACGUGAUUCAGCUGCAUUUCACCCAAAAUAUACUAGUUUUUCUCAAGUUUCUCUCAAGAACAAGCUAGGGUUUUUAUAGAAUAUCCAAUUUCAAGAAAGUUUCACCGGCAAUCUUCAUGAAAUCACGAACUAAGGUAUGUAUAGUGUUUAUUCAUGGACUCCUUUCGUCCAUGAAGUCUAACAAUCACUUUUCCAACUUCAAGUUAUGGAUUUUCUUUAUGAUUUCAUGAUUGGGUUGUUCUUGUUCAAAUUGAUAAAUGAGAAAUUGAACUCUACUCCAUGUUGGGUGAUAAUUUCUAUAUGAGUUUAAUUAUUAUAGAUAUAGAUUCAUGCAAACCUAUGACUAAACCCUUGAAUGGUGAAAUUAGAAUGUGACCAUGAUGUUAAAUUAUUGUACAAUGAUGUUUACAUAUACCAUGCCUACAAUAUGUUUGAUUUAAUGCCUAAAUGAAGGGAAAGUGCCUAACUAGCAUAUUGUCAUGAAAUCCCUAUGUUUGUACAAGCUUAUGCCUAUCACAUGUUUGAUGAAAUGCUUCAGUAAAUGCAUUAUGGUGAUUAUUAUGUAUUCAAGCAAGUCAUGCUUUGUCAGUUUCCUUCUAUCGAUUCCUAGGGGUACUUGUACCCGAAACAUUAGCUGUGUGCCUAGAGUCAUGUCAUGUUUUCAUGAUAAUCUCAGUCAAGCUAUGAUCUAGACUUCAGACAGUCUUAUCACUCAGGAAAUCUCCAUGAUCUUAUGAACUCAGUCAGUUGUCAGAUAUCAGUAGUAUUUUAUCAAUCAAUGGAACUCAGUAACUCAGUCCAUAUUCAGUUUAGUAAAUCAUGUUCAGUGUCUAUUUAGAUGGGAGUAGAUAUUAGCACCGAGCGAACCCAAAGAUGGGAACUCACCUAUUAUAUGAGGGUGUGAUUCUUAGAAGUAAUUCUUACAUUCCAGAUCUAUAUAGCCAACAUAGGUUGAGACAUCAUAGCCUGCUAUAUGAGGGUAGAUGAGGUGGCUUAGCCUUUUAUAUGAAGGUUCCCAAUAUUCUCACUAGAGUUACCUGUUAUAUUAGGGUCACUCACAUGUUGUCCUUACCAGUGGCGCGGUAUUGACAUACUUCCAAUCAAGGCAUAGAUUGGAUCUCAAUUCAACUAUAAUGCAUUAUUUGGGGCAUGUCGGUUAGAUGACUACCUUCCAUAGUCUCAGUAUCAGUCUCAGUAAAAGAACUCAGAUAAUUCUUCAGAAUUUAGGACUAUCGAUACAGUCAACUCAGAUACAGUACGAAAUUCAUAUAGUUCCAUCAGAUUCAGGACUGUCAGAUAUAGUCACUCAUGUUAUCAGUUAUAUUCAGAUUCAGUAAUCAUGUUAUCAUAGUAUUAGUGUCAAUUGUCAUGUCUCAUGCAUGUAUUUUCACACUCAUGAUAGUUAGUCAGUUAUUAUUAUUAUUCAUGCAUAUGAACCCCAUGCAUUCAGCCUACCUCACAUGUAUACCAGUAUAUUCAAAGUACUGAUAUAUUUGCGCUAUGGUGUCUUAUACCAUAGGUUCAGAGACACGAGCUCCAGAGCAGCAAUAGAUUCUAAAUAUCUGCAGACAGAGUUAGAAGUGAGUCCUCAUCUUUCGAUAACAUGAUUAUUUACCUAUUAUCUCAUUAAUCAAUUUAUUAGUUAGAGUUAGUUGGGGACAUGUCCCAUCAACUCUUUACUCAAACAGUUCAGUCAGUUAGAGGUUUUCUAGACUAUCAUGUUUCAUACUUCAGUAUGUUCAAUUUUAUUUUGGGUUUUCUAUUACCCUACACAGAUGUUAUAUCAUUCAAAUCAUAUUCAGUAUUGAACCUUAUGAUCUUUCAAUUAAUGUUUCUGCAUUAUAAAGUAUUUUAUACAGUAUGCAGGUACAGAUAUCAGUCAUGGGUUAGCUUGUGGUCCAUCGGGGUCAUGACCACUGUGUAGCAUUCCGAGUAUCAGAUUUUAGGCCAUACCAACUUGGUAUCAGAGUCUAAGGUUCAAUAGAGUGCUAGACAGCCUGAAAGCCACAUCUAGUAGAAUCUUGUGCAUGGGUGUGUUGCGCGCCACAUUUAUGUACAAGAGGCAAUAAAAUGUUUUAGGAAUAGUUUCCCUUCUUUCGGUAUUCAUGUCAUGCCAGUGAGCAUAAUCUCAAUUCAAUCUCUCAGUCUAAUUUGUUUUCCCCUUUCUUCUACAGAACAUGCCUCUUAAAAGAAAAAACGAAAACCAGUCAGCCCCUCAGCCCAAAGAUCCUUUGGGCGAUCAUAUUUCUCAUAUGGAGUUUAGGGCCGCAUUCACUACUCUUGCUAACUCAGUUGCUACUCAGAAUGAAUGACCAGUAAUCAUUUUGGCCAACCCAAUGGCCAAUUCAGCCGAAGCCAGGAUUUGGGAUUUUACCCGAAUGAAUCCUCCAUCCUUUCUUGGGUCUAAGACAGAUAAAGACCCUCAAGAAUUCCUAGAUUAGGUACAGAAGGUGACAGACAUAAUAAGGGUUACAUCUAGUGAGAGUGCUAAGCUAGCUACAUAUCAGUAGUAGAAUAUUGCUCACACUUGGUUCAAGCAGUGGAAGUCAAAGAGGGCAGAUGAUGCAGGGCCAGUUGAGCGGGAGGAGUUUGCUUCAGUGUUCCUUGAUAGAUUUUUUCCCUUAGAGAAUAGAGAAGCUAAGGUACUAGAAUUCAUCAACCUCAGGCAGGGAAAUAUGAUAGUGAAAGAUUAUUCUCUUAAGUUUACUUAAUUAUCCAGAUAUGCCCCUCAUGGGGUUGUUGAUAGCAGGGCAAAGAUGAGCAAGUUCGUUUCAGGGGUGAAUGAUAGCAUGGUUAAUUAGUGUAGCUCCAUUAUGCUAAAUAGUGACAUAACUUUAU